Molecule: long non-coding RNA, 76681 nt
Filed under: Manihot esculenta (cassava)
Lineage: Eukaryota; Viridiplantae; Streptophyta; Magnoliopsida; Malpighiales; Euphorbiaceae
Description: long non-coding RNA (MESC_LNC001803)
Source: RNAcentral
UUUUUUUUUUUUGGUGUUUGCGUUGUUUUGAUUUCGAUUUCAAAUUGAUCUAUAAAAAGCUCAUUUUCUGUUUUGUUGCUGAGAAAUUCGGGGAAAAUGAUUGAAUAGUACGUUGAUGGAUUUGAAUUUUUUGCCAGAUUUGAUCUGUGUGUUUUGGAUGGAAAUCUGCGAUAUCAAUCUGUUUUAUAUUCUAAUCUGAUUUAAAUUCCCAUUUAUUUUUUUUAUUUUAUUAUUGAACAUUUUCUGAAGAUUUGGUUUAAAUUUUGGAUAGAUGAUACAAAUAUGCCCAUAAUAUGAUUAAUUCAUACGUCAACAAUUAUAUGAUCUUUCCUUGACAAAUAGUGGUUGUGUAAUUUGCUGAAAAAUUGUAACUUCUAAUCUAUGCAUAUGUCAAGCUAAUAUUGCAUAUAUAUAAUUUAUCAACAUUUGUUCUAAUUCUAUGGAGAAUGGUGCGAUCAAGAAAAUUGCAUUUUAUGAGCAUCUAUUUAAAAAAAAUAUUUUAGCGUCAUAAUCUUUAAAACUAAUGCGGAUAUACAGUCUUAGAGAUGCCUACAGGUAUACUACUCAUUUCACUUUUCACAUAUUAAGUAAUUUAAUUUUCAGUGUGGUUGCUUGUGAUAUGUUUCUUCCACUGAAAAGUUUGAAUUCCAAUGGAAUAUCUGGUAUAUACACCCCAGUAUUUCCCUAUCGUGUGUCAUCUUGCUUAAUGCUGUUAUGGCAUCUAUACUGUUGGUUUUUUGGGAGGAGAGGAGAAUAAGAGACUGAAUUGCAUAGAAUUGACAUAUUGAUUUUAUUGACGUACCUGUUAUUUAUACAUAUGACAUGUAACUAAAAAAUCAAACAGGAUCAUAAAAAAUCUAAAUUUGAAUUUAAAAUCUUAACAAAAUAAUUUAAAUAACUUGAUCAUUUGAUUUAGUCUAUUCUAACAUAUACGCUGAGCACAAUAAGGUGUUUUCCAUCUGUUUGUGGGCUUAAUAUGAUAUUUAUAUGUUUGCUUAUUACCAGAUUAUUUAUCAUAUAAUAAGUGAAUAAGUGAAAUAGUUGUACAUUGUCAAGUCUUGUAUGUUUACAAUAUGCAUCAGCUGAAACACUAUGUCAAUGAGUGGUUUUAGAAAUGAGCAUUAGUUAUCAUAUCAGAGAGUCAAGAACAUAUUAACUACAGUGGAACUACAAAGUUCUCAAGAAAUUUUACUGCUUCUAAUUCUGCAUUUAUGUUAAUCUUAUGGUUCUUUUCUUUUUCUAACACAUCAACUUUACCAUUCAGUGACUAGAUUUUAAUUUGAGCCAAAAUGUAGAACUUUUUCUCUUCUAAAAGAAAUGUAGCUAUUAGUAUUUCUUCUUCCAUUUGUGGAAUGCUUGGCGACCCUCCUCUCGUUGCCUCUUAGGAGACAUCUUGAUAUUUUUUCAAUCAAUAACAAGGAGAAUUCUGAUGAGCAUAUUAUCUUAUGACUUUUGGAUUCUUAUCUUUGUUGUACAUGUGCAGAUAUUGGAAGGUCUCCUUAAAUUGCCCGAAAAUAGAGAAUGUGCUGACUGCAAAGCCAAGUAUGUAUGUAUAGAAUAUUUAGGAUAUAAUAACCAUAGAGAUAGUAAAUAGUUGAAUACAUAUAUAACUAUAAGCUUGGGGAUAAUUUAGGGUUUUCUUAGCAGUACUGUUGUAAUUGUUGUUGAGAAGAAGACACAAUUUUGAAUAUGUUGAUUACAAGCAAUUUAAAAAAAAUUAAUAUAGAUUUUUCAUAUUUUGUUGAUUAACAUUCUAAGAAAUUUGCUUUGAUGCUUCAUGUAAUAUUUUUUUUUCCAACAAAGUGGUUUCAACUUCAAUGUCAACAAACACACUUAGUGGUCUUGGAAUGGAUGCUUGUAAACUGCACCAUAUAUUAUCAGGCUCUUGUUAGUAUGUUAUUUCAUCUUUAUUAUAUAAAUUAGUAUUAACUUGCCUGUGAUGCAGAGGUCCAAGAUGGGCAAGUGUGAAUUUAGGUAUCUUUAUAUGCAUGCAAUGUUCAGGGAUCCACAGAAGUCUUGGGGUGCACAUAUCAAAGGUGAUGUUUAAUUGUCCAGUAUUUCGUGAUUGACUUAAUUCUUGGAGAAUUCAGUGGAGAGGAUGAGCUGCACAGCCUGCCCCUUUAACUUGCACUGAAUUAUUAUACUUUUGAUGGAAAUGCAGUAAUCUUUACUUUAGAACAAUAGCAUGCUUACAGGAAAUACAGCAGACGUAAUUAACCAGAAUCAACUAACUUCAGCUUCUCUUUAAUAUUAUGAUUUUAUGAGAAAAUGCUUAAAAAGCAGUGGUGAGUGGAGGAAUCGAUGAUUAAUCCUACAUGGAAUCAUAAUUCUGAAUUUAUGAUGCUAUGUUAAUUAAGUGAAUUGUCUUUUGCCACUUGUAUGAGUCAUUAAAUGGAUCUGCGAGCUUUAUGUUAUGUAUCAGACCUGUAUGGCCCUUCUAAAUAGAGAAAUAGAAAGAGGCUUGGUUGAAAAAAGAACAGAAAGGGGAGAAGAUCCAGAGAGAAUUAGAGGAGUUAGAAAAGUAAUUCUUUGUAUUGAUUCUUGGAAUGCAUUACAAAAUAGCUUCUGCUGAGAUUUAUAGCUUCUAGGAACUCCCCUUACAGAAUCAUCUACAGCUGUAACAAAAUCAGCUACUACUGAUAGCAUCUUUCAACUACUCAGCUCCCACAGACCAGACUAACUACUAUUACUUCUACAAAAAAUCACAGCCUCCCUUGUUCUCCAUGUUAGUUGUAACGCUUUAUUGUGGAGCAAUAGAUGCGGACAGGAAUUACAAGGAGACAGUAAUUAAUAUGAGUAUCUCAAUUUUGUGCAGAAUUGACUAAUUUCAGCUUUUCUUUAAUAGUAUGAAUUUACGACAAAAUGCCUUAAGAGCAGUUGUGAGGUGGAGGGAUUGAUGAUUAAUCCUACAGGGAUUAAUAAUUCUGAUAUAGCUGGGAAUCUUGUUUGUUAAUUAAAUGUGUCCUUAAUUAAAACUACAAUAGCAAUUAUCUUUCUGGAGGGCAUGUUUGAAUCUUUACUUGUUUUCGCUGCAGGUUCGAUCUGCAACCCUUGACACAUGGCUUCCAGAGCAGGUUGCAUUUAUUCAAUGUAAGCCUUUUUUUUCCCUGUCAUGAGCUUAUGGUUAUUGUUAUUGUGCUGACCCUUAAAUUUGAUUAAUCCUCUGCGUCUUACCGGUUUUGUAAAGCAAUGGGAAAUGAGAAGGCAAAUAGUUACUGGGAAGCGGAGCUACCCCCCAACUACGAUAGAGUUGGGAUAGAGAAUUUCAUUCGUGCAAAGUAUGCAUCAAGAAUUAGAAUGCUGUCUUUACUUUUUUCCCCCAUUUAAAUCAUCAUUGUCUUUUAUGCCAAUAAAUCUUCUUGAUUAUUGCUUUUGUCUUACAGGUAUGACGAGAAGAGAUGGGUCCCUAGAGAUAGAAUUGGAAAACCAAUGUCCCCUCCUAGAGGGCAUGAUGAAAGGUCUUCUGUGCAUUGGCAGAGACCCAGUGAAAGAAGUGGGCAUCAACGUGCCGAGAGUUCAGAAAAUAUGUCUGGCGAAAGAAAGAAUGCUCAACCACAACAUUCAAAAGAUAGUGUUCCUGUUCAAAGAAUUAGUGUUCCUGCUCCUCCCAAGGGACCUGAGCAGGUAUAUCUUUUAAUCCUUGUUAGAAAUUGUUAUAUUUACAGUUUAGUGGAAGUGUUAAUGAUUGCAACAAGAACAUGGCUUACCCAAUGUUUUUGUUUCAUAAUUUUCCUUUUUCACUUCUCCUCCUUUCAUUUAUAAGACAAGUGAAUUAAGAAAAAAGGAAGGGAAACAGCAAAGACCUUAGUAGGUGAAAGUUUUUUAACUUCUUUCUCUGUGUGUUCCAUUUCUAAAUUGACAACCAUUGAACCAUGAAUUAUUAGCAUGUUAGUUACUUGAGUUUGUCACAACAUAGAUAAACUUCACUCCUUAACUAAUUUAUUCGAGAUCUGCCUCAAAAACACAAGGUUUAGAUCAUCCUAGUGGGAAUAUAAAUUCAUUUAACGUGAGUUGUAUGAGAUCAAUAAAAUAAGGAGAACAAUAGGGUGGAGCCAUUUCCAAUUAUUUUUAUCAAAUUCCUGCUAUUCUAUUCUCUUGGGCUUAUUGCAUGAUGUCUUUUGGUUAGAGUGGAUAUAUCAUACCUGCAUAUUUGUUGCUGUUCCUUUACUUAAAUAAGCCUCAGGAAGUUAUGAACAUGUUCAAUACCUGUUUGUAUGAGCAUGAUGUUUUUGUGCAUAAACAGAUCACCCCUCCCAAGCCCCAGCAGAUUAUUCAGAAAAUUGAACCUGCAGUAGCGCCAGCUGAACUGACAAAGAAUGCUGCAACAGCCAUUCCACCUGCUUCUGCACCUAAAGUUGAUUUUGCUACUGACCUUUUCAACAUGUUAUCUGUGGAUAGUCCAAGUGAAAAUGGCUCUGAGUCAGCUUCCAACGAUGAUAAUGGAUGGGCAGGUUUUCAAUGUAAGUUGUCACUUUUCACAUUUUCCACUUGACAUGAUCGUAUGAGCAGUUUUUGCUCUUCUUUUGAUUUUUUCUAUUUGUUCCUUUUCCCCUUUUGAAAUUUUAGUAGCAUGGUCUAGUUUCUGUUACAAAUACCAUGGCUUUAUAUUGGCAAGUUCUAUUGUUGCUGUUUAGUUUGACUCUGCCAAUUAACAGCUGCAGCUGCUGAAGAAGCACCACCAAUAGACAAAAUUGCUCCAACUAAAGUGGCUGAGAAUAAUACCAACUCCACUUCUGGAAUUGAAGAUUUGUUUAAAGAUUCACCUCCUUUGACAACUCCUUCAGUGUCAGAGAACCCCCAGAAAGAUGUAAAAAAUGAUAUUAUGAGCCUUUUUGAGAAGGUAUACGGUUGUUGUUAAACAGAAUUUGCACCUUAAAAUCUUAUCCAACCUACUUCAGUUAGCAUUCAUUGAUCAUUAAGAUAUUUGAUACCUAUGUCUUGACUGUAUUACAGUCCAAUAUGGUGUCCCCAUUUGCAAUGCAUCAACAGCAACUUGCUAUGCUGGCACAUCAACAACAGCAUCAACAACAGUCCCUUCUCACGACUCCUGCAGCAAAAUCAGGUGGUGUUGACCCAAAAUUUCCUGGCAAUAUUCAACUGCCCGGAUCCAAUGGUAUUAACUUGCAUGCUCAAAAUUGGCCAAAUGUUGGAUACCAAAUUCCUGGAUUAGUGAUGCCAGAAGCUGGGCAGGUUGACCCACGUAAACUUAUGCAGGUAGUCUAAUAUUGAUUGCAUAUUUUUUGUGGCAUUUUUGUUGCAUCUAGAGAUCUGACAUUUCAAUUGUGUCACCCUUGUGUUAAGACUGGUAAUACAGGAGUCACAAAUCUAGCGGGAAGCGCUGUACCAUAUUCAACAUCUAGGUAUAUAUAUAUUUUGUCCAUUUAAUUUAACUGCUGUAGUAAAAUAUGAUAUUGAUGAAUUAGCAAUUACGUGAUUUUUUUUUUGUGAAACUUGAUCAUUAAGGAAACCAUCCAAUUUCCUUGGAAGCAAACUUUCUCUGGUUGCCAGCUGAAAUAUUUUUGUUAAGUGUUAUUUUUCAUUGCACUUGUUUGAGUCGAGUCAAAUUUCGAACAACUGAUGUCUAUAAUGUCUGAGGUUAUAGUUGUCAAAUCUAAAAUCAAGAAUCAAAUGAAUCAUAAGAUUUAGUACGACUUUCAAAAAUCAAUAGAAAAUAAUAUAUAUAUGUUUCUAGAUAUAUUUCUAUUGAUUUAUCAAAAGAUAUUAAACAUUCAAUUGUAAAUAGCAUAUAUAUAUAUAUAUAUAUAUAGUUUACUUCCAAAGUACCAAUUCGCAAUCAAAGUGAAUCUAAUGGCUUUGUUAUGGCCGAGCUCAAAGUAUGAAAAUAGCAAGUUAAUAUUAAUUUUAAAAAAAAAAAAUCUUGGGCUGUUUGCCCCUUCAUUUUUUAUUAGUUUAUUGUCCUUAGCUUAGAUUUUUUUUCUUUUCUCCUUUUUUUUUUGAAUUUGGCCAUUUGCUGUCCUCUUUGUGAAUUGAUGAAUCUAUCAAUUACUAUCAACUACUUAUGAUUCACCCAUUAGAUUCAUAUCAUUAGACUAGUGAUUCAUUACGUGUGGUACAAUUUGUAUCAGUAAUUGUAUGAUUCUAAUAAUGAAGUCUGAAGUACAUAUCUUGUUAUUUGCGUGUAACAGGCUAACAGCUACCCUUUUUUUGGCAAAAGUUCAAUGAAAAUAGUUCAAAUUUUGGUAUUUUAUGGAUUCUUGUCUUUGACUAGGUGAAACUGAAGAAUCAAGCAUUGGAAUUUUCUUCUCCUCCCUGCUUGCUGUAUUUUCUCCCCUCUUUUAUGUGCACGUGUAUAUGUGCUGUCUUUUGUCUGAGAUGAUCCUUGGGUCUUGCAUUGCAUCUAAACUUCCAGCAUCCACUUUUCCUCUGUGCAAGGAGUAAAAAAAAUUCUCUUUUUCUCAAAUUUUCCUGACCAAUAUUCUGUAGAGAAUUUGUUUAGUCAUCGGGUUAUAAUUCAACCUAUCAUCAAUUUCCUCUGUCCUCUGUUGACUACUUGCAGGAUGAUUUCAAGUUGCCACUAGAAAAUAAUUGUUGUUCUUAACUUGCACACCAAAUUUCUUACAUAAGCACUGCCAGUGUUCUGUUCUUAUAGCUUGAUAAUAUUCAAGCAAUUGGCAGGUUUUUGUAUCUGUGAAAGACUACAAUAUACCCCAAUGUGCAAACCUUUUGAGGGUUUUGAGAAAAUACAAUAAUUCCAGAUUCUACAUUUCUCUUUUGCUCUUCUUUUUCUUUUUCCUACUUUUGAAAUUUUUACUCUGCCCCUCUCCUUGCUCCUUCUGUGUUCUUGGUUUUGGUCCUGUACAAAGGUAAAAUUAUGUGGUCUCACAGAGGCUCCAUCCUUAAUGGGCAAACCUAUCAAGUGCAUUUCUGUUUUGUUUUGACAGUUUGUGCUUAUGUGUAACAUUGCUCGGAGUUUACUCUUUAAACAUCACUAUCAGUAUUCAGUUGGAGGGUCAUCUUGUAUAUGACCAUGAUGAGGGUUACUACUGGUUGUUUCUAAGAGUAAACUGGAGAUCACGGUUUGAUGCUAGCUGUUAGUAAUCUUGUAUUUUUGCUCAAUUAGGCCUAGUGGUGGAUGCUAUUUACUUCGCUCUCUUGUCAGUAUGAAUCGUUCUAAUUGAUCUUAGUGGUUCUUUUCUUAGUUGUACUGAUGUUUGUUUAUGGUGUGAAUUGCCUGUGCAUUCAAUUAUUAUUAACAAAUUGGAAAGCAUUAUAGAAUGUGUUGCUCUGCACUUCAGUAAAUAUGUGCUUGAUAUCACUUCAGCAUCUUAACCUUGCACAUAUCCGUUGGCUGCCUUCGGCUGUAAUGCUGCAACUGUGGUGGUGCUGUCACCACUGCUUAAGUGGAUUAAAUAAACUCCAUAUGGUCUCUGAAUCCCAAGCCAACUCUGGUUCCAUUAGACCAAUAUUAGUUGUGGCGAUUUGAUGUUUGUUAUUGAUAAUAAAUGUUGGCAAUUACCAAAUUUUGAACGUGUUAUUUGCUACUUUAUUUUUCACAAUCUUUGCCAUUCUUUGCUUGCAGCUUUUAUACCAUGGGUCAGGUUACGCCUGCUAAUGGUGUGACAAUGACUGGAGCUAGCAAACCUCAAUCGGGAGCUCCAAUUUCAUCAGAGAAUGCAUCACAGUCUGGAAAGGAUUAUGAUUUCUCAUCAUUAACACAAGGCAUGUUCUCAAAGCACUGAGUUUCCUGAUGUUGGCAUUUUUCGUACGAAUACCAAGAUAGUUGUAUUACAGGAAAAUAGCGACCUGAGAUUUUCCUCCAGUGUGGCGAUUGUAAGCUAUUUUGUAGAUGCAGUUUGAGUUUUUCUCUUUCACAUUUGGUUGAUGGCUUAUUUUACGAGUAGAUAUAAUCCAGAGCUAAUAAAGCUGGGUUUUUAGAUUGUUUUCAUCUUCUCCGCUUAUUGUCGCCAGUUUUUUGAACCACAAGUAUUUUAUACAAGUCUGUAUCUGGACAUUGUACGACUGAAUUUGUAUUUUAUAUAUUGAUAUUUUUUUUUUCAAACAAACAAGCUAUGAAUGCGAGUUUUUCUUUUGAAAAAAAAAAAAAUACAAAAAGGUCUAUGCUUGGAGUUAACAACUGCUUUCAGUUUCCAUGNNNNNNNNNNNNNNNNNNNNNNNNNNNNNNNNNNNNNNNNNNNNNNNNNNNNNNNNNNNNNNNNNNNNNNNNNNNNNNNNNNNNNNNNNNNNNNNNNNNNNNNNNNNNNNNNNNNNNNNNNNNNNNNNNNNNNNNNNNNNNNNNNNNNNNNNNNNNNNNNNNNNNNNNNNNNNNNNNNNNNNNNNNNNNNNNNNNNNNNNNNNNNNNNNNNNNNNNNNNNNNNNNNNNNNNNNNNNNNNNNNNNNNNNNNNNNNNNNNNNNNNNNNNNNNNNNNNNNNNNNNNNNNNNNNNNNNNNNNNNNNNNNNNNNNNNNNNNNNNNNNNNNNNNNNNNNNNNNNNNNNNNNNNNNNNNNNNNNNNNNNNNNNNNNNNNNNNNNNNNNNNNNNNNNNNNNNNNNNNNNNNNNNNNNNNNNNNNNNNNNNNNNNNNNNNNNNNNNNNNNNNNNNNNNNNNNNNNNNNNNNNNNNNNNNNNNNNNNNNNNNNNNNNNNNNNNNNNNNNNNNNNNNNNNNNNNNNNNNNNNNNNNNNNNNNNNNNNNNNNNNNNNNNNNNNNNNNNNNNNNNNNNNNNNNNNNNNNNNNNNNNNNNNNNNNNNNNNNNNNNNNNNNNNNNNNNNNNNNNNNNNNNNNNNNNNNNNNNNNNNNNNNNNNNNNNNNNNNNNNNNNNNNNNNNNNNNNNNNNNNNNNNNNNNNNNNNNNNNNNNNNNNNNNNNNNNNNNNNNNNNNNNNNNNNNNNNNNNNNNNNNNNNNNNNNNNNNNNNNNNNNNNNNNNNNNNNNNNNNNNNNNNNNNNNNNNNNNNNNNNNNNNNNNNNNNNNNNNNNNNNNNNNNNNNNNNNNNNNNNNNNNNNNNNNNNNNNNNNNNNNNNNNNNNNNNNNNNNNNNNNNNNNNNNNNNNNNNNNNNNNNNNNNNNNNNNNNNNNNNNNNNNNNNNNNNNNNNNNNNNNNNNNNNNNNNNNNNNNNNNNNNNNNNNNNNNNNNNNNNNNNNNNNNNNNNNNNNNNNNNNNNNNNNNNNNNNNNNNNNNNNNNNNNNNNNNNNNNNNNNNNNNNNNNNNNNNNNNNNNNNNNNNNNNNNNNNNNNNNNNNNNNNNNNNNNNNNNNNNNNNNNNNNNNNNNNNNNNNNNNNNNNNNNNNNNNNNNNNNNNNNNNNNNNNNNNNNNNNNNNNNNNNNNNNNNNNNNNNNNNNNNNNNNNNNNNNNNNNNNNNNNNNNNNNNNNNNNNNNNNNNNNNNNNNNNNNNNNNNNNNNNNNNNNNNNNNNNNNNNNNNNNNNNNNNNNNNNNNNNNNNNNNNNNNNNNNNNNNNNNNNNNNNNNNNNNNNNNNNNNNNNNNNNNNNNNNNNNNNNNNNNNNNNNNNNNNNNNNNNNNNNNNNNNNNNNNNNNNNNNNNNNNNNNNNNNNNNNNNNNNNNNNNNNNNNNNNNNNNNNNNNNNNNNNNNNNNNNNNNNNNNNNNNNNNNNNNNNNNNNNNNNNNNNNNNNNNNNNNNNNNNNNNNNNNNNNNNNNNNNNNNNNNNNNNNNNNNNNNNNNNNNNNNNNNNNNNNNNNNNNNNNNNNNNNNNNNNNNNNNNNNNNNNNNNNNNNNNNNNNNNNNNNNNNNNNNNNNNNNNNNNNNNNNNNNNNNNNNNNNNNNNNNNNNNNNNNNNNNNNNNNNNNNNNNNNNNNNNNNNNNNNNNNNNNNNNNNNNNNNNNNNNNNNNNNNNNNNNNNNNNNNNNNNNNNNNNNNNNNNNNNNNNNNNNNNNNNNNNNNNNNNNNNNNNNNNNNNNNNNNNNNNNNNNNNNNNNNNNNNNNNNNNNNNNNNNNNNNNAUAACUAAUUUUAUUAUCUAUUUAAAUUUUAAUUAUAUAUUUAUAACUAAUUAGAUAAAUGUAGAUUACAUAAUAUAUAAAAUUUUUAAAUAUUAACCUUUAUUAAAUUUAAUAAAUUAUUUUUAGUAUAAUAAAUAAUUUAAUUCUACUAAAUUUAAAAUUAAUAACAUUAAAAACUAAUUUCAUUUGUAUAAUAUUAUAAAUAUCUUUUACUCUAAUAAAGGUUGUAAUAAAAAAUUGCUAUGAUUUCAUAUAUCUUAUAAUUUUUAUCUUUUAAAUUUGAAUUUAUUACCUAUUAUUUUAAUAAUUAUUUUUGAUAUUUUUAAAUAAUAUUUAAGUUUGUUAUUUUAAUGAUCAUAUCUAAAAAUUGUAAUUUUUUUAAUCAUAUAUAUAUAUAUAUCAAAAUCUAUAAAUUUAAUGGUAGAUAUGUUAAAAAAUAUCAAAAUUUUAAAUGCAUAAAAUACAUCAAAGUUAAAAAUUUAAGAUAAUAAUUAUUAAAAUAAUUAUCUCAAAAAAUUUAAUUUAAAUAUUAUCCAAAUUAUUAAUUUGUAAUACUUAUCCUCUAUUAAUUAUCAAAUAAAAUUAAUUAAAUUCAUAAAUAAGAAUUUUAAACAUACAUUAACUUUAAAUGAUAAAUAUUUAAAGUCAUUUUAGAUUAUAUACAAAUAAUUUAUUAAUUUAAAAUUAUUUAAAUAAUAAAAUAAUUAUUCAUUUUCCAUUUCAAAAAAUAAAUAAUUAUUCAUUUUAAAAUUUAAAACCAAUAGUAAAUAAUUAAAUAAUAUAAAGAUAAAACCGGUAAUCCCAUUAUUUCUUUCUAUUUUCACUUUACAUAUAUUAUAAAUAAAAUAUAUAUUUAAACACCUGUAUUAUUUUAAAUUAAUUCAUUAAAUAUUUAAACUAAAAUUAUAAUCUCUUAUUAACCUUAUUGAUUAAAUAUAUAUUUACACUUUAUAUUAUUUUAAAUUAGUCUUAAUUUAUUAAAUACUUAAAUUUAUAUAAAUUAUAAUAAUUAAAUACAAAUUAAUUAUAUAAUUAAUAACAUAUAAAAAGAAAUUAAAAAUAAUUCAAAUUGUUACUAAUUAUGAUAAAAAUUUAAAAUUCAUGGGUGUAGUUUUUACGAAAAUUUUACUUAAAGUUAAUUUCUUAUCAAUUUAAGACCGUAUAUAUAAUAAAAAUUUAUAUAUAAAAUAAAUUAAAAGUACAUGAUGACUGCUGAGUUUCAUCACCUGAUAAGAGGCCGAGUCCAUAGUAACAGGCCGGUUUAAGACCCGCAGAUUUCCACGAGUGAGAAGAUCUAGCCCAUUUAUUUCUGAGAUCGGGCCUUUCUCAGAAUCCAGUUUUCUCUGUCCGAACCCGGCCUGAAAGCUUAACAAAAUAAGAAUCACUGUUCCGGCUCCAAACUACUCGAUUCACACACGUGCUAAAAGGGUGAAUUAAAUGGCCGUUAGCAUGGUGCAGAGACCUGAUUCUCCCGUACAUGCGUAUCAAAUCAAACUUACUCGACCAUUAUAAAAUUCAAUUUUUUAAAUGUCAGAUUAUCAUCAUAUAUUUAUAUUUUAAAUUUAUUAUAUAUUCAAUAGUCUAGAUAAUUUUUUUGGCAUAUUUUUUAUUUUAUAACAUGGUUUGAGUAUCUUACUACGUCUGUCAAAAUUAAAAAUGCUGGAUUGUUUUUUGUAACCACGAUAAAUUUCAUGCAUUUUAGAAAAAUAAAAAGGAAAAAACGAAAUUAAAAUACAUAUAAGAACGUGAUCUGGCAAUUUCACAGCCAUGCAUGCAUGGACCAUUCAAUUUUUAUUACAGGUAGCCAGAAGCUUCCAUUGAAAACUUUUUAUACGCAUUCAAAUAAAAUAUAAUUAAAUAUGAAAAUUAUUAUUAUUAUUUAUUUAUUAAACUAAUAUAUAUUUAUAUUUAAAUACACGUAAGAAUUAUCCGUUCAAUUUGUAAUUUUGAAAAUUUUCAUAAUAAUUAAGCAACCUAAAUCUAAUUGUACACUCAGGUUUAACCAAGCCUCAUAAUUUAAUAAUGAUUAUACAAAAUAAUCAUUAAAUUUACUUAAAAAAUUAACGAAAUUCUCAAUUACUUUAAUUUUACUUCCAAUUUUGAUUGAUGCUGACUAUUUUUCAAAAGUUGGAUAAAAAAAAAGUUUUAUUUUUUAAAUGUUAGGAUGCUGUGGGAGAUUUUUAAAUAAAAUUAAAAAUGAAAAAAUAUUUAAUUUAUUUUUUUAAUCUAUAAAGAACACGUGGAUUUAAAUAUUUACAAGCAAAAUGUAAAUUUCCAAGAGUGAAGAAAUCAUAAUUACCGACUUUGAAUACAUGCAUGUAGUUACGUAUACAAACAAAAUCAAUCAUGCAUUUGAUUUUGUAGUUUCUAUAAGCUAUAUAUUCAAAAUAAUUUGGGUUGGUCAAAUGAUUUCUCACCUUGCCAUUCAAAAUUAUAAGCACUGUAUAAUUGCACGCCAAUUGCUUUGUUUACGUGUCCGCAUGAAGACAUCUAAUGUUCCACCGUUUAAAAAAAAAUGACCUAAUUUACGAAUUAAAUUAUAAAUUAGUGAGAAAAUAUUAAUUCUAUUUUAUAUAUAAAUUAUUUUAUAAGAAGAAAAAAAGCAGCAUGGGUCUGUGUAGAUGGCUAAUUUAAUUGUGUACUGGGUUAGGAUUAGGAUUAUUAUUUAAUAUAUUUUAAAAUAUUUUAUUAUUCAGAAGUAAAGAAAAUAAUGCAAAGAUAAGUCCAUUUCAAUUGAAUGAUUGGUUUGGUUGGGAUAAUUUGGUAAGGAAAAUUCUCAGAAAUUGAAAAUAUUAACGUGUUUGGUUGUGUGUAACUUUCUAAAAAAAUUGAUGGUUUCACUUUGUGAUGAUUACCGCUGAAUUUUUUCAGUCCCGUAUGAGACCGGAUUCAGAGGCCGGGUCCACAAUAGCAGCUCACAAUCUGACUAGCCCAGUUUAUUUCGGUCUUAAAGCCAGCCCUUUCCUAGGUCUCCGCCAUUUUCUCUCAAAUCCGGCCAUAAAAAAAAAAGACUGCGGGUCCAGUCAUUUUGCAGCCCUGAUCGCGCACGCGUCGAAGGGAAUUAAAUGCUCACCUGACACAGGGAGGGUCUUGAGGUUAUCCUGAUGUACGGCACUGCAUCAAGGGGUAGAUGGACCUAUAGCGGAAAGGCCAUCUCGGGUGAGAAAGAAGAAAGAAGAUAAAAAGAGGUAAUACUGGGCUCUAAGACUAAAUCUUUCCAUAUUCACAAAACUCCUGAAAAACUCUAUUUUUUGGAUCUCAGAUCAUGAGAGGCAAUAAAUUCUCCUAUUUAAUCAUUCUUUUCUCUUUAUUAAAUGGACCACAAAACUCAUUUUAAACUCAACAUCAAGAAAAAAGAGAGAGAAAAUCAACUUUAUUCCAAGAUUUUGGCUUUUUUUUUUCUUUUGAACUUGUUUUAUUAGUUUGGCUUUUCUAUCUUUCUUCUAUAGGUGUGGGACAUCCGUUGAGAUUUAUACAUUUUUAGUAUUGGUUUAUUAGGCUAGCUUAGCCUAACGUAUGUAAUUCAUUUUGCUAACCCAUGCAUAAAAUCUAAUUGCUUAGCUUUAGCUUUGGCUCACCAACCCAUCAUGUUUGCAAAGGAAAAAGAAGAAAAUAAAUAUUACUAUAAGACUCAUAUGUCUUGAAGUGGAUUCACCUCCCAUGAAAUUUCUUUUGAAUAAUACUAAACUUGUCUUAUUAUUAUUAAUAAUACAACAAAAUACAUAGGAAAAAUGUCAAAACAAUUCUCAAACUUUGUCAUUUUUAACAAUUUUACCCUUCAUUUUUCUUUUUUUCUGGCAAAAAUACUCUAAACUAGUUUUUUUUUUGGGGGGGGGGCAAAAAUACUAGAAAACCCAUGAUACAUUUCUCAAGAUUAAAGUGCUAUAAUUCUUUUUAUAAAUUUCAGGAUUUAAAUAUUAUUCAUUAAUAUAUAAUAACUCUCCCACACCUUGUCCUUUCUUCCUAGCAAGCAAAGAUUCACCGCACUGCUCAAUUAUUCUGAGUCACAAUCAUAUUAAAACCAUUAAUUUGCAUGAAGCCAGCAGCUUCUAUUUGUUAAUUCAUUUCAUUUUAACGUAAGACAAUGUGGUCGGUUAGGGUAUUUGAGAUUCCCGCAACACCCACUACCAUUGCCCGGAGAUUCAGGAUCCUGGACAAAGCUUCAGUGGUAUUAUCAAAAUUGAUGGGAUAGUUAGGUGUGCCUUUCUCCAAUUAAUUACUGCCCUAAUUUUUAGGUUUUUCUUUUUUUAGGCUUACAUCCAUUUCAUAAUUCCUAGCUAACUACAUGUGAUAUAUAACUUUUUUUCCCAUUUUAAAUAUCUUGCUUUCUUUUGGGCAAUAUACCACAGAAUCAAUCAAUUAAUUUCUCUUUAAAAAAAUUAUAACAUCAUAAUUUUUAAAUAAUUUCAAAUUAGUUAGAGUUAAUUAAUUUACACUAUUAUAAAUUAAAUAGCGUCUUUGAGAGUUUAUAGAAUUAUUUUUUUUUUCUUUAAAACUGAGAGAAAUAUCAUUAACUCAAAGCGAUCAAAGAAACUAUACGAGGAGGAGGGAUAUGAACCCAAACUUCUUGACCUGACUCAGAAUGAGCCGAUAUUGCUAGAAUAUGAGCGAUAUCAUUCGCAGACCUGUGAAUAAAACCACGUCUUGCUUCUUCAUAACUGGAUAGAAGCAAUUUACAAUCUUGAACCAAAAAACUAAAAGGUGAUAGAUCAUCUAACGACGCAUUGUUAAUGGACACAAUAAGAACCUGAGCAUCCCAUUCGAAAAGAACUCGAUCCCAUCCACACUCUUUAAUCCAGCUCAACGCUUCUCGAAAAGCCAUUGUCUCAGCGCACUUAACUUCCAUCUGACUGCAAAAACAGCCUGCUUUAACCGCCAUAAAUCUACCAUUAGCAUCUCGGACUACACAGCCGAAACCUAGUGAACUUCGUUGCGAGUUUAAAGAGGUGUCAAUAUUAACUUUAAUCCAACCCUGUGAUGGAGGAGAUCAGACAGUCAAAGCCAACAUAACAUUGGUGCAGCUGGUAGAAUCAGAACAAGCCUCCCUCCAUUGCUGCAAAAAAUUUAGUGCCAUGAAGAACACACCACUCGCAGUUCGACCCUGAGCUUUCCAAACAACAUUAUUUAUGUUAUGCCACAAAAUCCAACAUAUCAUUAGAAUAAGGGAAGCAUUCUCUGCAGAAGCAAUAAGAAAGGCUAAAGAGAACCACUCCCUAAGAGAGGCAGCGGAAAAUGCAGGCCAACCCAAAGGCGAACUCAACCAGCAACUGCGGGCAAAAAGACAUUGAACAAGAAUAUGCAAGACAGUCUCAGGAGUCUCAUGAGAUAACGGACACAUCGAAUCAACCGGAACUCUCCUGGAUUGAAACAAAGAGAGGCAAUAAACAAUUUAAAUAAAUAAGAAAAAGCAAUUUUUAUAAAAAUGAAAUAAAAUAAGAGAAAAAUUAUAGUAUACUCUCCAUAUUCACAUUUUAUAAAUAAUUAAGAAUAAAUUUUAAAAAAAAUAUAUAAUGAUUAACUUACUAAAUCUCGAUAAAAUAAAAUGAAAAGAUUUUGUUGAUCACUGACUAAUUCAUUUUAUUUUAUAAUUCUUUAAAUAAUUGACUUUACAAUAAUAAUAUUAGUAUUUAUAUAAAUAUAAAAAAAUUUUAUAUCUAUAAUUUAAUAAAAUUAAAUAUUUAAACCCUCUAUUUUUAAAAAUAUAUACUAAAUAGUUAAUAUUUUUUGAAAACAUUAAAGCUAUCAAGAACUUUAUUUGACCUAUUAUGUAUUGACGAUUAAAAUAUUUUUAUUUAUUAUCAGUAUCUAUCAUGUUAGAGUAUAACUAUCCAAUGUCCAUAAUUUUAAAAUUAUAACAAUUUAUCAUUAGAAUUAAUAUUUACUAUUUUUCUUUAUAAAGUAAGAUCAAAAUUUUAAUUUUUAUAGAUAAAGUAUACAAGAAAAAUUUUAUUAUUUAAUAUAUAUAUUAUAAAAAAAUACAUCAGAUGAUCAUUUGGUUUUUAAAAAUAUUUUAAAAUAUUUUUGAUAUUUUAAAAAAUUAAUUUAUUAUUUUUUACACCCAAAAAUAUUUUAUUAUUUAAUUUUUAUAAUUUAAAAAAAUUAUUAAUUAAUUUAAAAUAUUUAUUAAUUAGUCUAUAUCUAUCAAAAAUACUUUAAAUUAUUUUACUAUGCUAAUAAUUAAAAUUAAUAGAUGGAUUAAUUAAAAUAUUUUUAAAAAAUUAAAAAUAUUUUAAUAUAAUUUUUAAAAUUUAAACACUAAAAUUUUUUUAUAAUGUAAAAAUUAAAUAUUUUCUAAAAUUUAAUAUUAAUUCGGUUAGCUAAACAUAUAUGUAGUUUAAGACAGAAAAAAAAAAAGUAUAACUAAUAAUUAACCAUCUAAAAAAAUAUAGAAUAUUUAAUUUAUUUUUAAAAUAAAAUAAUUAAUUUCAUUCAUUUUUCAUAAUAUAAACGACCGCUAUACGAAAUGCAUGGAACAAAAUCUCCCAACAGUGCUAGGGAUGGAGCAGGAUAAACUGUGACAUAAGCGAUGCCAAACGUCGAGGCAUAGAGGCUAUGAGAUGUCAACACUGACAUGUGGACAAGUCCUACGUGUUCGAUUCUGACCUAACUCUUACCUACAUGCACAAAAUUUCAUCGCAGUACUGCUGCUAGAGCGGCACUGCACCUCUUGAAACUCUCCAAAUCCAACGGUCCACAUUUCAUCUUCUACACUCUCUUUCAUAUAUAUACCCCUCCCCUCUUCUUCUUUUUUCUUCAUUAUCGCUCCACAUGCAGCUUUCUCUUUCUUUCUCUCUGUCUCUCUGUGCAUUGAGACCCACCACCUGAACAACCCUGAAGCUUUCUUAAUUUCCGUGAAUUUAAUAUGGCGUUUUCUACAUCAGGUCCUGGAAACGUAGUCCUUUCUCUCAAACUAGCUUUAAUUUCCACCGUUGUAUUGUCAGUUGCGGUGAUGCUAAAGCUAUCUGUUCCGGUGGUUACAGAUUUUGCAGUCACUGAACUUCCAGUCGUGUAUAGCUCUGUUAUCUCUUGGCUUCGGCCUCCUUAUCUUUAUUUGGUCAUCAAUGGCAUAAUCAUCUCAAUUGUCGCUUCCUCCAAGCUCCAAAAACCUGAGGAACCCUCUACACAACCGGUGAUAAUUCACCAGCCAACGCCAGCGGUGAUGGCAACGAAGGCGUCUGCGGAUAUAUCAUCUGACUAUAUUGAGGGAGUUGUUGUGAGCGGAUCGCUAUCUGGGUACCAAGAUUUGAAUGUGGCAGACAAGGUUGUGCCUGUGGAUGAUCGCACUGUGAACAAAAUUGAUGAGGGUAGGGUUGUAGAGCAAGAGAGACCGGUGAUGGGAGGUGGUGAUGAGGCUGCGGUUUCUUACAAAUCGGUGCAGCAUCCACAGAAGAGCGAUUCUGUGGAGGAUUUGUUUGAGAAAGAAAAGAAGAAACCGCUGGUUUCUGCAAGGUUUGGCUCCAAGAAAUCAGUGAAAGCAAAUCCUGAAGGUACUCUCUCCAUCUUUCUCUCUGAAAACAUAAAAAUUUCAGCUUCAUUUGAGAAGCAAAUCACCAUUGGAUCAGUGGUUUAAUCACCUUCUUUCUUUCUUUCUCGCAGCCGGGAAGGCAACAGUGUUAGGCGUAUCAAAACCGAAACGGCACGAUACCUUGGAGAGCACAUGGAGGAUGAUAACGGACGGCCGUCCAAUGCCGUUGACCAGACACCUAAAGAAAUCGGACACGUGGGACACUCACGUUCAUCGCGACGACACCACGACACCUCAGCCGCUUCCGACGAAGAUGAAGAAGUCGGAGACUUUUAGCGAAAACAAGUCGAAGCUGAGGCGUGAUAGUGAUCAGGGAUCAGGGAAACUGAAGAAGGAACCGUCAUUGAGUCAGGACGAGUUGAACCGCCGAGUGGAGGCGUUUAUAAAGAAGUUCAAUGAAGAAAUGAGGCUGCAGAGGCUGGAAUCGUUGAAUCAGUACCGCGAGAUGCUCAAUAGAGGGGCUUAUUAGGAAUUUUGAUUAAAUUUGUGGGUUGAAAUGUAAUAGAGCACGAGACUGCUAAGGUGGUUGGUUUGUAAAAUAGAAUCCAAGUCUCCCAAGUGUUUAUUGGCUAGAGACGUGGACGAUGGAAAAUCUGAAGGCACAAUUUAUUGUUUUNNNNNNNNNNNNNNNNNNNNNNNNNNNNGGAUUAGAGAAAAUAAAUAAAACUGCCAAACUCACUGUUGAUUUCAGCAGAGUGAGAGCUACAAAAUGCCAAUAACGCUAUUGUGUUUGAGUGGCGGUAAUUCAGUUAGAGUUAGAAUUUUUCUCUUUUCCUUAGUGGAGGGGUUUGGAAUAGCAUGCUUGAAUUAAUUUGCGAUGAAGUUUCUGGAAAUCUCAAAACGACAAAGUUAAUAUUCCAAAGGUCUCAAAGAUUCUUAAAGAUUUAAAAGAAUCUUAACCUUAACUGCGAAGAAAUUGCAACCUGAAGAGGUCGAUCAAAAUGACUAAUUAUUCUGUUAAACAGUUGAUGAAUGUUGUUUGAGCAGAUUUGAGGGACUAAGAGAUUGGCGGGCUGCAGAAAGAGAUUUAUUGCUGAUUGAGACUCCAGAGAGGAAAUGAUUAUUAAAAUUAAAGGAAAUGAGAAUAAUAGUAAGAAUUACAAAAUAUUUUCUCAUUAAAUUGUAUUUUAUUUUUAACUAACGAUUAAAUUAAUUAAAUGUGGAUAAUAUAAUUAAUAUAAUCAAAAUUUUAAAAAUUAAAUUUAUGUGGAAAAGUCAAAACUAUUUUCAGAUCAAUUUAAAAAAUUAAAUUAAUCAAACUGUAAAAGUUAAAUUGAUUCAAACCAAUUAAAUUGAUCUAAUAAAAUUGAAAAUGUCAAUGGAUCACCUUCAAGGAAGACCACCAUACAACUGUCUCACUAGAAAGAAUCAAGCCACUGAAAUAUUUGGAGGGUUAAGCAUUCAGUCCGGUCGAUUUUAAAUAUUUAAUAGAAUAAACAUUUGGUCCGAUUAAUUUAAUUAAAAAAUUAUUAUAAAAUAAAAAAAUAAAUCAAAUCAAAUCAACUUAAUUUAAUUCCAUUCGAUCAAAUCAAUAUAAUUUAAUUCAAUUCAAUCAAUUCAAUCGGUUGUUUUACAAUUUCAAAAGAAAGCUAAGAAUUCCUUACUUCAGCUAUUUGCAGGCACUUUCAACUAUCACUUUUCAUUCUUAACUAACUCCAACUAGGCUUCAACUUCAGAUUCAAUCUCCUCCGGUGAAAAAAUAUCACAUUUAGAUUCUAGCCAACUUUUCUUUUCAUAGUUUGUUAUUUACGUAUGAUAUAUUAGAAACUUAUAAAAGUAGAAAAAAUAUUGAAAAUUUAAUAAAAUUGAACCGCUAAAUCAUUCAUAUUCUUGAAAAUUACUUUUUUUAAUAAAUUAAUCACAAGAUCAAAUCAUUAAAUUAUUCAAAGUAAUUACGACCUUUCAUUAAUUAAUUAAUUAUUAUACUAAAAAAUAAUUAAUGAAGUAUUACCUGUAAAAACUUAAUGAUAUUGCUAGCGCCAAACACGCGACGAAUAAUAAUAAACUUUGUCAAUUCAGUCGGAAAAAAAUAUGAGUCAAUUCAGACUUUAAAUUAAAUAUCAUUAUAACUUUUUAUAAUCUGCUAUUAUUAAUUUACUGAUUAAUUUGUAUAAAAUUUCACUUAGUGUCUAUUAAUUUAUAUAAACAUCACAAACCUCUUUCAACUUUAAAUUAUAUCAUAGAAAUUUCAAUAUUAAAUUUAACAUAUAAAUAAUGUUUACACAAAAUAUAUUUAACAAUAAUAUAAAUUUAAAUACAUUAUUUUACUAAAAUAAAUGAAAAUGAUAAAAAUCAUCUACAGCAUUAACCUAGAUACAAAAUGAAAAUAACCAUAUUAAAUAGUGUUUGGAUGUAAUUAAAAUAAAAUAAAAUAAAAUAAAUUUCUUAGCCAAAAUAAGGUCAUUAAAAUUAAAAUAAAUUAGAUAUAAUAAAUUUUAAACAAGCUAUAAAUUGAAAUAAAUAAAUAAAAUUUAAAUUUUAAGAUAAUUAUAAAUUUACAGUCAUACUUUACAAUUUAUUUUUUAUGAAAAAGUUAAAUGAAAACUUAAUUUUAUUAUAAAAUUAAAAUUGAGAGAUAAAUAUAAUACUUUCAUCUAAGUUUAAGGUGAGUGAAAUUUCACCGUAAAAAUUUUAAAUUAAACAGAAACAUGAUAAAAAUCUGACUAAUUUCAAAUUAGACAGAUUUUUGUCAUAUAAAUUUCAAUUAAGGGACGUCAUUAAUAUAACUAACUAAAUAGAAGGACCAAAGGUGAAAUUACAACCCCAUCAAAGGCUCAAACUAAACAAUAAUCAGCUAGCCGAAAACGAAGGAAUCACUAACAGCCAUAUCAUAUAAAAUCAAAGACAAUUUUCCUUCAUGGAAAUGGUAAUCUUUAUGUUAUUGUCCGGUUAUAGCUCGACAUGACAUUUGUCAAAAACAUAACUCACAGACAGAGAUGAGAAAGCCUUCUAAGGACACCAGUCACCACUGCUUCCAGUCACUGAGGUCAUAUGAUUGCCUGCUCAAUCCUCAAUUUGUCGGUGAGAACCACUGACCUUAUCUGUUCCGUGGCCGACUAUUUCAGCCCCAAAUGUUUGCUUAAAUUUGCAUAAAAAGGCGUAUUUCUUCACACACUAUUGCGGUUGGACCAUUCAGACAUUAGCAUUUAGGCCUUCUAGUUUCAACUUCCAAAGAGUUGUGGAUAAACUUGGAACAGCCACAAGUUUUAUAUAUAAUAUAUUUAUUUGGCUAUGACUAAUAUUUUAGCAGCAUGGAGAUAAAGAUUCACAUUUAUUUUUUCAAAACAUUUUUCCUCUAUUUUCUUUUCAUACAUGAUGUGAAAUAUUUAGGUAAUAUUUAGUGAUGACAUGCUAAUGCCUAGAUAUUAGGCAUGUCGUCUGAAAGUGGUUGCAGAAAUACUACACUGAGAAAUCAAUAAAAUUUAUUCGGUUAUAAAAUGACAGGUCUAUGUAAAACCUAGCUUGUGUAGAGUAGGGAAGACUUCUAACAGUGAUCUUAUACUGCUUUAUGUACAUUGAUCUUUUUUAUAUGUGAAUCGUGAAGUGAAUCCUAAAGAACACACCAGGUGGGAUCAUUUACAUAGCCAUUGUGGCAGGGAAGAGCCUAUCCAAGAAAGUAUAUACACCUCCUCCUAGGAGAAGUGCACCACUGCAGAGCAAAGCAAAUUCAGAUGUGUUAAACUCUAAGUGUCCCACAAGUUGAAAAUAAAAAAAAAUUAGAUAGACAUGCAAUUAUACGGUAAGCAAGGUUGUUAUAUGGUUUCUAAGUGUUGACUAAGUUGUGGGUUCUGACUUAUAAGACAUUGCCAGAUCGAUCAAUACAAAAGUGUUCAGCACCAGAACGAUGAAUGAUGCGAAGACUAUGAAGGUGUAAACAUAUGCCUAUUUUACUUUCCAAUAUACAAAAAGAAAAUACAAAAACUUACCUUAAUGGAUUGAUCCAUGCUGAGAACUUGCGGAAUGACAGCAGGCUCUGCAAAUGUCUUAAAGGUUAAACUUUGAAAAGAUUAAAAAGAUAACUAAAACAAGGUAAUAAAUUAAUUGGACUUUCUUAACCCACUUAUUGCCAUGAUUAGGCUAGAUAUUAUCACCAAGGGGAUUGACACAUUAAAUUAUACCCUCACAUCAAAUAUGACUAUUAGACAUUGGACCCACUCCUUGGAACUACUAGUUUCAUUCAACAUUCAAGUCCAGAAGUGGAAGUAAUUGCUCAUAACCUUGGUUAAUAAAGUGAUAAAAAUAUAGUCUGCAAUGUAAACCACAUACCUGCAAUGCUCCAGCAAAAGAAGCAGCAAGAAGCAGAGGAGCAACAUAGCCAGUAGUGUACGUCAAAAGUAAGCUGCCCCCUACCACUGGAUCCUGUUACAAAUAAUACUUUGUUGUACAUUUACUAAGUCGUCGAAUAUGUAAAUCAAAACUAAAACAAAUCAAUUUUCAAUGAUGAAAGCGUGAACAAUAAAUAAAGCUGUUCACUGAGAGUAAAUUAUCCAUAAUUGUAUUUCCCCAUUAUUCCUUUCACAUUUUUUUCUUUUUUUGCAAUACUGCCAGUAUUAGUUAGAAAGAACUCAGAAAAGGCACUUUAAUGCUUCAAACCAAUAAACAGACAUCAGAAAAGAAUAAAUGGAAAUUCAUACCAAAAUUAAACCACCAUAUUCUCACCUCUAACUUACAGGCUCUAGUACAACUAUGUUCAAUAUUCUGUCAAAAUUUGAACUCAUAAAAUUAUUGAUCUUCUAUAAGUCCCAAGUAAUAAAGUGGUUAAGUGAUCCCAAUAGUGAUUUUUCGAAUAAAAAAGCAUAAAUGUGUAUACUAUUUAAUAGAGUCGAGGACUUCAAAUAAGUGUUUGUGCCAUAAACCUUUUCCUUUCGCUAAAUAUGUUGCAAAUAUCAAACAGAACUUUUAGAACCAGGUAAAUAGGUAGAAAUUAGCAUAACCUGUUGGUCUGCAUCUGUAUGUGACAAAAAGCAAUGGGAGAGGAAGGGAAGGUGUGACUGAGUUAGAGAGAGAGAGAGAACGUUAUUUACCCUAGAUGCAGCUACAUAUCCCAGCAAAGUGGCAAGCACAGGUGUACUGCAAGGAGAGGCAGCUAAUGCAAAAGUAAGCCCAGCUAAAUAUGCUUGCACACCUAACAAUGCCGUACUUUUCAUCAUUAAAACUUUCAAGCAACCAGAUUAUAUAUAAUGAAAUCCUCAAAGGAUAAGGCAAAAUUUGAAAAGGCCAAUUACUUGAUGGAAAAUUAGCAGCAGCAGCACGGGGGUCAAAAUUGUUAAAAAAGGAAGGGAGUUGUAAUUCAACUAUCUGCAAUAUUCCCCCAGAAUCAGCAUAAAAACAAGAAAAGGAGAACUAAAUCACAAGAAGCCAAUUCAAAUGAAGUCUAUUUGCAGCUAAAUCAUUCAAGCUAAUCCAGAAAACAGUAAAAAAGCCAUCAUCAAAUGCUCAGCAUAUGAAACAGCCAACAUUUGCACAUGUAAAAUAAUAAGCAAAAUAUAUCAACACCUCCAGGAGAUUUAGACCCAUAAUUACGGCCAACCCAGAAGCAGCCAAAGGUAAUCCUUGUCCUAUCUGUCCAUAUGCCUUUCCAGCAAAUGAGGCUGCUACGCCAAGAAGAGCUAGUGUUGUAGCCAAUCCUAAAGCAAAUGCAAUAGAAUCUGAUAUGACCUGAACAGAAGCAUCAAGCUCUUUUUUCAUCAAACUUAUCAGACCAAUAUGUUGAAUUCAUAUCUGAGAUUAAAAACCAAUAAGAAUUAUUUCCCAAAAAAAAAAUCACUUCAAAAGUCGUAAUAUUACCUCUGCCCUACUUUUCCCAGAGCCAAAUGCUCCUGUAUGGUCAAAAUGAGGUCAUUAUCCAGAUGCAGAGAUGACAAAGAUGCAAAACACAAUUUGCAAACUCAUUGGGGUAUGUCACUGAUGUCAUUAGACAUUACAUGAUAUAAUGCUUACCAAUGUAACCAAGGGUCAACGGUAGAACACUCAGUGUACAUGGUGAAAGGCUAGUCACAAGCCCUGCCCCAAAAAUAACUGCCAAACUGUAAUGCAGAAUAAGCUACGAACCAAAUAAUAUAGAUAAAAGAAGGAAAAGGGAUGCAAAUAGAAGGAAGUAAUGUAGGGAAAAACCUGGUGAAACUAAGGGCUGAUAACUGGUCCUGCACAGCUUCAUUAGCCUGUUCUCCAGCUGAAUAUAAGAAGCCUCCAAACCAAUCACCGAUGCUUCCAUCAGCCAUAGUAUAGAUAGAUGCAGCUUCUUCCUGAAUCAAGCAAAAAGAAUUACUGGUCCUAAGAUUAUUUAAGAAAUAUAACUUGAAAUAGUCCAUGGAGAUAGCACCAUAUCUUAUUCCUUUUUUUUUUCUUUUUACGGAAUAGCCUCAUUUAUUAGAAGCACUUCUGAAACUCUAACAAAAAAUAGUAAUAACAAAUGAGGAUACGAUUGGGUGAAAACUUGGUAGUUGUGAAUUUUGACAGCAUUAGGGAAUUCGACGAUAAGAAUAAAAUGAAACAACGGUUGAAGAAAAUAUGCAUUAAAAUGUUCCCCACAACGUUUGGAAUUGGAAGUGUCAGUUCAAACACUGCUAAACGAAUCCUCACCAACAAUUUAUCCGUCAUUACAGCCUUUGCCGCAUCUAUUGCAACCAAAUUUGCAGCUGAGAAUUCAGAAAAGAAAGAUGUUUAUAUCUGAAAACCAUCAAGAACACAGAGAAAAAGAAAAGGCCAAUACGCAAUUCUUAACCUUCAAGAAAAUACCAACUUAAACAAUUAGGUUAAUGUUUACGUUCCAUAUUAGAACAGCUACGCCCAGAAAUAGAAGCAUCACAAUCGACAAGCAGGGGCAAAUAUCUAUUUAACUCCCCAAAAAAAUAAUAUUAACUAGGCAAUAAAGCACCAUCCUUUCUCAUGUAUUAUUUGUAAGCAGUCUUUGCAAUGAAAAUUUAAAAGCUAAGAACAGAAAUCAUUGUUACCUGCAAUGGAACUUGCUAUUGUCUUUAUUCGAAAGCUAUCAUUCUUCGAUAAAGACACGAUAUCAUCACGAAGAUUCUUAUUCGUGGAAGAUUUGUUACUCAUUUUGAUCAGGACCUUAUCUCUCCCUUCACAAGCGAAAUUAACUAACUCAAUUAUUUAAUUAAUUAAAGAGAAAAUGAAAUUUAAAAGGGAAAAUUUCAAUCAACUCACCAUGAUUGGUCCUGUGGCUACUUAUACAACAGCUGAUACAGUGGUUUACAAGCAAACUCAUGAUAACACGAAGAAAACUCUGAGUUCUGAUUCGCGUUUGGUCGCCAAGAAAGACAGCGGGAAAAAUAAGAAAUAUUAGAGAGAAUUUGAGUGGAGAAAGACCUGUGUGGGAGCGGAGCGGGAGAUAUUUUUCUUGCUUCCGACGCGAAUAUACCAAAUUCAGUAACUGGAUAUUGACUGGGGAUGAUUCAACGGUUAAUUUAUAUAAACGACAUCGUUUGGUUGUAUACCCUAUUUAUUUUUAAGUUUUAGGACCUCCGAAAAAAAUAUAAUUACCAUGUCGAAAUAAGUUUGAUCCUAUAUUUUUUCUUAGGGAUUAAAUAAAUUUUAUUUUAUUUUUUUCAAUUAAAUUCAUGUAAUUUUUAUUCAAAAAUCAAAUAAAUUUUAAUAUAAUAUUUUUUAAUGAUUAAUUAUUUCAAAAUAUAUUUAUUUAAUUGCUUGGUAAAUACUCCUAUUUGGAUUGAAUAUCGAAGCAAAGUAUUAUAUAUAUUGAUAUCUGUAAAUGCGAUUCCCAUGCAUGAUUUGAAGUCUAAACAGUAAUAAAACCUCACAUGUAGAAUAUUGUGUGAAAACAUACAUCUGAGAUGGAAAGUUCAAGGCUACCACAGAUAGAUUAUUGGAAAUGGAGCUGCCAAUAUCUUUUAUUCUCCAGGGCUUUACCCCAUGAAAGAGUUUCUCAGCAACUUCAGAGAUGGAUCUCUCAGUUGUUAUCAAUCGCCCUUGGCGUAGCACCGGAGAGAGGCUGUGGUGGUGGACCUUGAUUGUUACGUUCCUGGAAGAAAUUAGAGCGUGGAAUUACGCAGCGAAUUGCAUUUUGCUAAAAAAUGAAUAUCACGGUAUUCUGUCUUUGGGUGAAAGUUCAUCAUUUACUUUGGACCGACUACUAUAUAAUAUCACUAACAAUAUAUAUAAAAUAUAAUUUUUAUUACAUUGUUUUUGAAAAAUUACUAUUUAAUUUUUAUAAAAUAGUAAAAUUAAUUAUUUAAUUUUUUUAUAAAAAUAUAUUAAAUAAUUUAUAUUUUUUAUAUUAACUAUUUAGUCUUUUAUUAAUUAUAUAAAUUAUAUAGUUAUAAUUUUAAAAUUAUAAAAGCCAAAUAAUUAUUAAUUUAAAAUUAUUGGACUAAAUAGCUAUAUUUUUAAAAUAAUAAAAAUUAAAUAAUUAUAUUUUAAAAUUAUAGAUACUAAUUAUAAAUAAAUAUAGUUUAAUCAUUUUAUAUAUUACUAAUAAUUUAAACAAUAAAAAAGACUAAAUAAUAAAUUAUUUAAAAUUAAAAAAUAAAAUAAUUAUAAAUGAGUAUUAAAAUGAGUGAUUCGAUAAAUAUUUUUUUUUACGUGAGAUGAAAAAUUCAAUUAUUAUAUAGAGCAAAUAUUUACCGGGAGCAUUUUAUUUCUUAAUAGAUUACUCGACUAUGAAUAAAAUUUAGUGCAAUUCAAAUAGUUAUAAAAAAAUAUAUUAAUUAAAAUAAUAAUAAUAAUUUUUAUUACAAAAAUAUGGUAUGAUUCACUAUGCAACCUAAUUUUUUAAAUUUCAUUUGAUUGUGUGUCUAUAUAUUUAAAGAAAAAAUUUUAAAUAAAAAUAUUUAAUCUAAUUUAACUUUUUUAAAUAAUAUUCUAAAUUUUAUUUUUCGUUUAAAUAAAUUAUGUAAAAAAAUAGAAUAUUAUUUUUUAAAAAAUAAUAAAAUUAACAAAUUAAUUUAAUAGCUCUUGUUUUGUUUAUCGUCUUUAAUAACACUAUCAGGUCAAUCUGAAGUAACACGUUUUAAGUUUUGCAAAAAGCCUAAAACGAGACAUGAGUAAAUUAAAAUUUAAUGCUUAUUUUUUAUAUAAAAAUCAUAAUGUUUAAUUUUUUUUAAUAUACUUUUUCUUUCAAUAUUAUUAUGAUUGAGAGAAAUAGAAAACUAAUGGAAAUAGUUUCACUGGUUUUUUAUUUUAUUUUUUAUUUUUUUAAUAUAAUCAUAUGUAUUUUCAAAUUUACGCAUUAAAUUAAAUUUUAUUGGCACGAAUCAAUUCAUUAAAAAAUACAGUAUUCGGAAGUAUUUACUCUAUCUAUAAAUAUAUUAUUCUAAAUUUUUUUUCUUUAAAUUUAUUAAAAAAUAAAGUAUUCUCGCUAGUAUUUACUCCAUCAAUUCAUUAAAUUUUAUUGGCACGAAUCAAUUUAUUAAGUAUUUUUCUUAAACAAUUUUUACUCUAAAUUCAAUCCAUAAAAGUGAAUAGAUUUUGUUUAUCUUUUAUACAAAAAACUCACUUAUUUAUAUUUUAUGUCCAUUAUAGAUUAAAUUUGGGCGAGUUUGCUUUGAAGUCAUUAUUUUAUUGUUGAGAGUCAAAUGGAUUCCAAGCAGAAAUGAGAGAAAAUGGUGAACAGGAAGAAUGAAAUAGGAAAAGAACAAAGCCAUGGAAGAGGUUAAGGUUUAGAGGGACAUAAUUUAGGAGGCGAGUAAAAUUUAGUUUAAAUUAAAAAUAUUAUUUGAUUUAAAUUAAUUAAAUUAAUUUUAAUUAUUUUAAUUUAGUUCAAUUUUAAUACAAAAAUUAAUAAAAUCAAAUUAAAUUGAUUAGGAAAUAAUAAUAUACUAUUUUUUAUAAUAUAAAAAUAUUAUAUUAUAAUUAAAAAUUAAAAUAUUUUAAUUACAUUUUAAAAUAUUAAAAAUAAAAUAUAAAAAAUAAAAAAUUUAUUAAAAAUUUUAAUAGAUCAAAUUGAAUUGCCCUAAAUUAUACUGACUUAAUUUAAUUUUUAUUUAAAAUUAAUUUAAUUUUUAUUUUUAAUUUAUUUAAUUUAAUUCAAUUUAAAAUUAAAACGAAGAAAUAGUUACGGCUAUUUUUGAUUUAUCCACCACAUUUCACCUUUGCUUUUGGCCAUUCUCUUUCCCCUUAAUUGGCGUUUGGCGGGGCUCACGUUUCCGUUAUGAUUGAUUUCCCUCCACCUACAAUAUUCAAUAUUCGUAUGUUAUUUUUAUUCCCCAAAUUACCUAAUUACCCUUGUCUAUUUAAAACUUUACAAAAUAAAAAUAACCACAGCUCAUAUUAAAUAGAUUUAUAUUAGGAGUAUAUAUAUAUUUAAAAUUACAUUAAAAAAUAAAGAACAAACUCGUUAAAAACUAACUCAUGUCAUUAGAUCCUUUCAAUAUAUUUAACAUAUAAAUUUAAGCUGUUAAAAAUUAAAAAUCUUGAAUAUAUAUUAUUCUAAAAAAUAAAAUACAAAAAAAUUCAGAGAUUAUAAUUAAAGAAGGGACUAAUAUAUAAAAUAUGAGGUAUUUUAUUUAAUUGUAGUACACAAUUUAAACUGCCUCAUCCACCACAACCUUUAUAAAUUAUCAAUCAUAUAGUUGGUUUUAUUUAUUUUAAUUGGAUAUAUAUUAACUUAUUAUUCUUUAUAUAAUUUAAUGAGAUAUAUAUGAAAAUCUAUUAAUAAUUGGUAUUUGAUUUUUUUAAAAUAUAUGUUAAUAAAUUAUGCACGUAAUUUACAAUUGCACGUGCAAAUACGUUUUUUAAUAAUUUAAUUUUUGAAUUAAUAAAAAAAAUCUCAUUUAUUUAUGAAAAAAUAUAAUUUGAUAACCGCUGGAUUUUUCUCCAUUUUAAGGCCAGAUCCAUGAUGACAACUCAUGAUCUGAAUACUUUUAAAUAUCCUAAAUAAAUCAGAUCCAGCUCGCUCAUCCUUGAGACCGGGUUCCAUUUAGAUCUCUCAAUCAGGUCGGCCCAAUCCUUUCGGCCCUAAGAUUAGAUCCAUAUAGGCUCAAUCCUAAUCUCAUCUUUCAACCCAGCCCGGAAGAAGGAAGGUGGCCAGCCCAUUCGCCUGGUGGGUCCAUCUGUAUGCGUGCCAGAAGAGAAUUAAAUAGCCGUUAUGCAUGGAACAGAGACCUGAUACCCUUGUACGUCCGUAUCAGUAUGGCAAAGACAAGUUGUCCAAUGGAAGUAAGGCCAUGACACGUCCCUGGCAGACAGAGAAAAAGGAUAAAAGAAGAGAAACACUCUCCUUUCGGACUAAAUUUUUACAAGCUCACAGAACUCUUGUAAAACCAUAUUUUCUGAAUCUCAGAUCAUCAUAAUUAAUUAAAAAUGUUUAGCUAAAACUUGACUGCUAUCCUAUUUAUUUAAAAAAAUAUAAAAAUAUCUUUAUAAUUUUAUUAAAAUUUUAAUUUAGAGCGUAAAAAUUAUUAUUAUUUAUAAUUGAUAUGAUAUUAUAAAGUAUUAUUUUAAUAUAAAAUCGAACUACAAAUUUUAAAAUAAAAAAUUAAUGAAACUAUAUAGUAUUUUUUUAUGCUCCACCUAUUUUUUUCAUUCUUUUGAGUUCUACUUUUAUAUUUUUCUUUUAUGUGCUUUUUGACUUCUUACUUAAAUAAGGCACCCAAUGCAAAUGAAUUAAGAAGGCAAAACCAUUUUUGUACUCAUAUAAAAGCAAAUAAAUACACAAUGUUGAGGGCAUUAUUGUCAAUUUAUUUCUCAUGCAUUUAAAGUUCCCUCCAUAUACAAUGUCACAAUCAAUAAAAACCUUAAAUUGCAAAUAUAAGACUGAAAAAAUUACUAUUUAAUUCAGAAACUCUAUUAAUUAAUUUUAUUAAUUUUAAAAAAUUUAUUAAAAUAAUAUUAAUUUUUUAAAAAAUCUAUUAAUUAAUUUUUUCAUUAAAUAUUUUAAUAUUUAAUUUAUACAGUUUUAAAAAUUUUAUAAAAUUAUUUUAGACUUUUUUAUAAUGUUCGACGAUUAAAAUUAAUGAAAAAUUAAUUAAUAAAUUUUUUAAAAUAUUAAUAAUAUUUUAAUAUAUUUUUUAAAAUUAAUUAAUUAAUUAAUAUAAUUUUUUAUAUUAUAAAAACUAAAUAGUAAUUCAUCCAGUAAUAUAAUCUCACAACCUCAAAGACAAGCACAUGAGUUAAAUCCAAAUACUAUAUAAUAAAAUAGGAAAUAUAAUAACUCUAGUAGCUCAAUCAAAUUAAAAAUGAUCCAACAACAAAAGACAGAAAUUCCCCAUCCUUUUGGGCAUGUUUGUAUCCAACCACAAAAACCCACAAAUUAAUAUUUUUAAUAUAUAAAAAAUUAUUGCUAAAAGGAUUUGAAUAUACCCUUCUUUUGUGGGGCAUUCACUACAAUACAUUGUAACUAUUGAGCAAGUGCUCCAUAUGGCCCAUAGAAUCAUUUUUUUUUUUAGUGCUUUAAGAAAGGGCAUGGACAUCGGUGAGGAGUAUUCGGUUCAAACUGAAAAAAUUAAUCGAAUCGAAUUGAUUUAAAAAUUUAGUUUGGUUUUUUAUACAUUUCAGUUUGGUUCGGUUUUUAAUUUCAGAAAUUUCUGUUAUUUCGAUUCAGUUCGGUUUUGAUAAAAAAACCGAAAAAAUCGAACCGAGCCGAUUAGUGAUAAUAAUAUAUUUUUUCAAUAAUAUAGAGAAAUUAAAUCAUAUUAAGAUUAAAAUAUUUUAAUUAAAUUUUAAAAUAUUAAAAAAUAAAGUGUAAAAAAUAAAAAAUUAUUAAAAAUCGAAACCGAUCAAAUCGAACCGAAUCAGACCGGUUCAGUUUGAUUCGAUUUCUGAUCAAAAUCGAUUCAGUUCGGUUUUCAUAAACACUAAAAUUUUAAUUUUUGAUUUAUUCAGUUCGGUUCGAUUUUAAACCGAACCGACCGAAUGCUGACCCCUAGCCAUGGCCCCAUGAGAUCCAAAAGUGCCUAAAUUAGCUCUAACUCUUUUAGAAUUUUUUUAAUAAAGAUUAUUAUUUGAGCAUGAAAAAUUUUAUUAGUUAAUUUAUAGAUUUUAAAAAAUAUGUUUAAAGUAUUUUUAAAAUUUUAAAAAUUUACUAAUUAAUUUAUCUAUUAAUUAUUAAUUAUUAAAUAUUAUAUAAAAAUUUAAAAUAUACUCAAUACAAAGUAAAAUAAAUAUUUAAUAGCUAUUUUCAUAAAAUUUAAAAAUUCACUUAAUGAAUUUUUUUAUAUUAUAUAAAAGUUGCAAUUUAAAAAGAAAAUUAAAGCCUUUAGUAAUUUCAAUUCAAAGAUUCAGCUACUUUUUUUCCCUGAUAAUAAUGAGUUUAUACAAGAUAAUUAUAUUAUUUUACAAGGAAGAAAAUAAAAAGAAUAGGUUAUGCAAAAUUGUAAUUAGUAUACUAAUAAUAAUAAUAAUAAUAAAUUACUUAAAUUCUAUUUGUUUCAAAAAAAUAUUUUUUAGAAAAAUAUUUUUUUAUAUUUUAUGUCAUUUGAGACAUUUAAAAAAUUUAAUUAAUAAAAAAUAUUUUUCUGAUAAAAAAAAAGUAAAUUAUUUUAAGAAAUUUUAAGAUAUUUAUUAAGAAUUUUAUAUAUAAAUUUGUUAAUAAAUUUUAUUUUUAAAUUAAAAUUAAAUAAUAAAAAAUAUUUUUCAAAUAUAAAUUAUUUUCUUGCAUGAAGGUUUAAUCUCAAAAUUAUAUUUUAUUUCUUUAAAUCCUCUUCCAUUCUACUAUUUGCUAUUGCAAGUACCAUGAUUAAAAAUGCAAAAAAUAUGCUUUCAAAUUACUUUAUUUACAAUUCGUUGGUUUGCAAAAAUAAUUUAUAUUUAAAAAAAUAAUUUAUGGAAAAUAUUUUCUUAAAAAAUACUUUUUAAUAAAAUAAUUUAUUUUUUAUUACUUAAUUUUAAUUUUAAAAUAUAAAAUUUAUUAAUAAAUUUAUAUAUAGAUGUUUUAAUAAAUAUUUUAAAAUGCGAAAAAUAAUUUAUUAUUUUAAAAGUUAAAAUUAUUUUUUUAAAAAUAAUUUAUUUUUUUAAUUAAGAAAAUAUUUUUUAUUAACUUAAUUUUUUAAAUACCUUAAAUGCUAGAAAAUAUAAAAAAAUAUUUUUUAAAAAAUAUUUUGAAUGAAACAAAUGGAGUUUUAAUUUUGAAGGUAAAAUUCUAUUUCUAUUUACAAGAAAUUUAUGUUUAUGAAAAUUUAGGUGGGCAUUUUAGCAAAGGGAAUAUUAAUUUGGUCGAUUUUCCAAAUAGACAACUCUCCCUAAUUUGUAAGAGAUUUUACAAGUAUGGGUUGGCAUACAAAAAAAAAAAUCUUGGUGGAUUGGUUUGGAUAUUAAAAAAAAGAGUAAACUGUAAUUUAGUCCCUCUAAUUUAGUGAAAUACAACCUUUCGUCUCUCUAUUUUAAAAAACCUUUAAUUUAAUCAUUCACAUUUAAAAGAACUGUAAAAUAGUCUCUACCGUCAAAUUUUCAAUUAACAUUUCAUUUAUUUUAAUAAAAAUGACUAAAUUAAUAUUUUCUCCUCAUCCUUCUUCUUCUUUUCCCGAUCCUCUUCUUCCUUUUCUCCUCAUCUUCCUCCUUCUCCUCUUCCUCUUCCUCCUCCUCCUCCUCCUCCUUCUUUUUCUUCUUCUUCUUCUCCUUCUUUUCCCGAUCCUUUCUCCUCCUUCUCCUUCUCCUCCUCCUCCCGAUCCUCCUCCUCCUCCUCCUCUUCCUCCUCCUCCUCUUUUUGUGUUGGGAUGGAGUGAAUAAUGUUUGUUUGAGUUUUUUUACUUAAAGGGUAGUUUAGUCAUUUUUAUUAAAAUAAACGGAAGGUUAAGUGAAAAUUUGAUGGUAGGGACUAUUUUGCAGUUUUUUUAAAUAUAAAGGAUUAAAUUGAAGGUUUUUUAAAAUAGAGGGACGAAAUAUUAUAUUUCACUAAAUCAGAGGGACUAAAUUAUAGUUUAUCCUAAAAAAAACACCAUAAAGGGCAUAAGGGAAUUUGGCAUUAAAAAUUUCAAAAAAUAGAAUAGUAAAGCUGAAAAAAAUAAAAAAAGCUUCAAAAUAAUUAGCAGCAACUUGCCCCUCUCAGCUUUUACAGGGUUCCAAACUCCAGAGUGCUUGCAAUUAGCUAAGCAUUUUGUUUUUUCUCUUCCAAAAAAAGAAAGAGAAAUUGUAAUAAUAUAUAUUUUAUUUAUUUAUUUAUUUUUAAUCAGAUCUAGACCGUUUCAGAAGAAACGAAUUCGCCAACCCAACACCUAACCUGAAAAUUUUGAAUUUAUGGAAAUGCAAUAACAACAAUAGCAAAAGCAGAAGAAGAAGAAGAAGAAGAAGAAGAAGAAGCAGCAGCAGGAGCUUAAUUCUGUUUCAGGAAACAGAAAACAGAAACCCCACUUCUCUUUUCUUCUUCCUUCAACCCCAAGAUUGAGAUGGGUUUCGCAAAACAACCAGAAACCUUCCUUUGUGUGAGUUUGGUUGUUCUUCUUAACAACCUUCACCCUCCCAUUUAGCAAAUCAAGCUUGUUACAGAGUUUGUUUCGUUUUUGCAUUUGUGUUUUCGCGCAACGGUGGAAACAGAUACAAUGGCCACAUUUCCUUUUUAUUUUCUCCCCCGUUCUACCUGUUAACGAACCCUCAAAUUUCUAGCCAUCGGAAUCUGCAAUUCUUAUCGUAAUUCAUUUCUUCGGGAAUUGUGGUUGUGGAGGAGAGGUGGCGUGGCGUGGCGUUCAUUGACACACCUUUUUUUUGCGGGAUUAUGAAAUUGUAAGCAUGGUUGGCAAGGAUGUUUUGAUUGCAAUUAGGUUUUUGGCUGCGUAUUUAUUUCUAAUUUUAUCUUAAUUAAACCCCAGUGCUGAGAUUUUAGUGGCAGACUGAGUUUCUUUGUUGGAAUUUGUGUCCAUUUUUCCGUUUUUUUUUGUCGAAGUUUGAAUCAGAAGGGUUUCUUUUUUUAUGCUGCGUGUUCAUGACGUUGUGUAUAUAAGAAAACUGCAAAAUUUUCGAGCUUUUGUUAUCGCAGAGAUUGGUUUUUAAGGACGUGUAUCGCUGUGAUUUAAACAAGGAUUUUUUUGCUUCCUCUCCCUUUUUUCCUUCGCAUUUUGGCGUUUAUGAAAUCCAUUUCGACUUUGUAUCAGUAAUUGGGUUGCAGGAGUCUGCCAUCUCAAUGUUUUGAAGUUUCUGUCUUUGUAAAGCAGUCUUGAGGUGUUGAGAGAAGUUGCGAGUGUAAAGUUUUUAACAUUUUGAUCCAAAUUCGGUAUUCAUAGCUGUUUGAGUAUUUGUUAAUUUUUAUUAUUUUACAAUGUGUUGUUAUUGGGUAGCGAAUUUCUGAGUUUGUGGAAUCUGAUUAAACUUGGGAAUUUAUUUUUGAAAAUUUUGUGUCAUUUCAGGAUUUUGUAAAUUAAGGAAUAAAUUACAAUAAAUAAUGAUGUCUGCGUCAGCGGCAUCGGCGGUAAGGAGCUCAUUGGAGGCCAUGCUGGAAUCGCUGCGGCGGCGAGAUGAGGCCUUGGAGAAGGCCAAAGAGCUGCCACCUGCUUUGCCUGCUCGGCCCACCUCAAGGGCUCGACUUCCUUCUGCGCGGCACUCACUGCCCACUGACUUCAAGGUAGAUGCCAACGGCCAAAUGGAGGGUGAAGUGGAAAUUGAAGUUAAGAAACAGGAGGAGGAUACUAAGAAGAAGGAAAAGGAGUUAGGGCACUCGACAGGAAGUUUUGGAAGCAAGAAGAUGAAGAAAGAUCAGAAUUGUGUGGACUCAAGUCCUUAUGCGGAGGAGAAGAAUGAGCCAGCAAAGGAGCUUGAGAUUAGUUCAACGCCAAACACAGAAGAGCCAGAGUGGGAGGACAACAUUGGUUAUUUUAUCAAGAAGGUAAUUAUAUAUGUUAAGAAAAAGGAAUAGUGAAUUAUCAAUCUUCUUUUUUCCUUCUGAUCUAUCUGGUGUUUAUUGUUUCAAUAUAAUUGCUAGGUGGACUGUUUGUAACUAAAGUUGUUGGAGUGCCUAGAAAAGGACUGGGUCAUAGUAUUUGCUAGAAUAGGAAUGCUUAUGGUUUUAAGGUUUACUUUUUUUAUUUUGGGUUUUUGGAUUUUAGGGCAGAUGUUGAAAUUUUAGGAGUUGGAACCUUUUACAAUGGUUGGGGACACAUAGGUGCCUCCACAUUGCCAUAGGAGAUGUUUCACCCUGUAUAACAUUAGAACAGUUCCUCUCAUGUAUAGUUAUAUCAUUGGCAGAAUAACCUCAAAUGUGAAUCUAUUUUGUAAUUAUGGUUGAUGGGCAGGUGCAGGGUAGUGCGACAAGGAUACAUGUUAACUGUUAUAUUGUUGGAAUGAGUGGAUAAGUAUUAAUCCACAUUCACUUAAUUUAGUGGGUAAUAUAUAGCUGAAAUUUUUAGAGGGGUUAGGUUGUUCAUUCAUGAUUUCAAUUACUGAUAUUGGUUCCUUAAUGGUUCCGUGUGAAUUAUUUUUUCCCGUGAGAAGCAUUUUUCUUAUGGAUAAGUUUUAUUUGGUGAAAGUUGGUGAAAGCCAAAUUGAUCUAUUAAGGGGAUUAUAUUCUUCCAGAAACUAAGUAUCUGGUGUCAACUAGCUAAUGGGCGAUGGGGUUCAGGGAAUAUACAUUCAACUUCAGGGGAUGAAGCAGUUGUUUCACUUUCAGGUGGAAAUGUAAGCUCCUUUUCUCCUCUGAAUGUUUGUUAAACAUCUUUCAAUUGCUCGUGUAGGUGGAGUCUAACUUGAAAUAAUGUUAUUUCAUUUUUAUAGUUUGUUAAGGUGUCUACUGCAGACCUCUUGCCUGCAAAUCCAGAUAUCCUUGAGGGUGUAGAUGAUCUUAUAAAGCUUAGUUAUUUGAAUGAGCCAUCAGUUUUUCACAAUCUUAAGUGCAGAUAUUCUCAGGAUAUGAUUUAUGUAAGUGCAACAGAAACCUUUGUCUCAUAUCAUGUUCUUUCUAUUAAGAUUUUUUGGUCUUGUCUCAACUCCUAUUUUUCAAUGUUUCUUUUGUUCACAUUCCUGCAGAGCAAAGCAGGGCCAGCUUUAAUUGUUGUAAAUCCUUUCAAAGCUGUUCCAUUUUAUGGAAAUGAAAUUAUCAAGGCUUAUAGGCAGAAGCUCAUGGAUAGUCCUCAUGUUUAUGCUUUAGCGGACACUGCUUACAAUGAUAUGAUGAGAGGUCAAUGAAUCCUUUAUUUAUUUUUCCUUCUGCACUUGAAUUUGGUAUUGUUGCUGAGUCCCUCUUUCUUUUUGCCUUCCUUUUGGUGAUUUCAAUCUGCAGAUGAAAAAAAUCAAUCUCUAGUUAUAAGGUUAGUGGUUUUUUUUUCUUUAUUUUUAUUGUUUUAUUUAAUCUUUUCAAGUAUUUUUGAGCUUUCCUAAUUUUUCUCUUAUCUUCUAUUGUACUGGGUCUUUACUCUUUAAUCUCUACUUUAAUGUUUCAAAAUGAUUGGGAUACUUGUGUAGCUAUCAAUUAUUUUAAUAUUUCUCCUAUAGUGGUGAAAGUGGAGCUGGGAAAACCGAAACAGCAAAGCAUGCAAUGAAAUACUUGGCUACUCUUGGUGGUGGCACUGGAGGCAUAGAACAUGAGAUUCUUCAGACCAACAGCAUACUUGAAGCAUUCGGAAAUGCAAAAACAUCCAGGAAUAGCAACUCCAGUAGAUUCGUGAGUUGCUAUGACUCCUUUUUCUCUCUUUCCUUUUUUUUUUUUUUGUUAUUUCAUUGGAUAAGUUAGUCCUGGAUGUGCAUCACUUUUACACUUUUCUCUGCACUUUUCCUUUUGGCACAGGGGAAGCUGAUUGAAAUUCAUUUCAGCACGGAAGGGAAGAUAUGUGGUGCUAAAAUUCAAACUUGUAAGUAUGUUCAAGUUAAGUGAAUUGUUUCUAUCAGUGUGCAAUUUCAUGAUGUCUGUUUAGAAACUGAUUUGACAAUUUUCUGACAUAUGCAAAUGCUGAUUCUCCUCUGGUGCUUGUGCAUAGUUCUGCUAGAAAAGGUAAAUUUUCAAUCCUGAAUUUUAUCUUGGAUUUAUUUUUCAUCUUCUUUGACUUCUAAACUUGUUUGUGUCUCUUUUGAGCAGUCUAGAGUAGUUCAGCUGGCCAAGGGCGAAAGAUCAUACCAUAUAUUUUACCUACUUUGUGCUGGUGCUCCAUCAAUUCUUAGAGGUAAAAUUUUCAUGAAAUAUCCAUCUAAGUUUCAAGAGUUUUUUGUCAUAAGUAAUCUGUAUUAGGCUUAUAUGCCUAUUGCAUAUAUCUGCCAUGCAUUGACAUAAAAGACUCUUGUAUUGAGGCGUUGUUGCUAAGACCCUGUAGAAUGAAUCUCUGCUGCCUUCUAUAGACAUUGACAUCGUUUUAUUACCAAAAUUACUUGGUCAUUUAACUGAUUGUCUUGUCAUGUUAAUUGAUUCUGUUGAAUCUCACAUCGGUUGUAGAAAGGGAUAAUAUGCCCCUUAUAUGGGCCGUAGGCACUCCUCCCCUUGAGCUAGCUUUUGAGGUGAGUUAGGCUUGGCUUAAAUUUAACAAGGUAUCAGAGCCUCUCCAUCCGAUGUUGGCCUCUUAUAAAAUAUGUCACGCACCAGUAAAAUUCUGGACGUGAGGGGUUGUGUUGAAUCCCGCAUCGGUUGUGGAAAGGGGUAAUGUGCCCCUUAUAUGGGCCAUAGGCACUCCUCCCCAAAAGCUAGCUCAAGGGGUGAGUUAGGUCUGACCCAAAUUUAACAGAUUCUAUUAUUAUACUUGUGGAACAUAUGUGUUUUUGUGGUGUUGAUGUUUCUAUAAUUAAUUAAUUAUAACCUCUUAUUCAGUUUAAAGGGUGAUGUACAAAAAUAUUGCAUACACAGACAGCAUUCAUUUUUGAGCUUUGGUUAACAACAGCUACCUCUUCCUUGAAAAGCUAAAACUAUUGAUUGCUACAUCCAUUUUAACUUCAUUGUCUCUCUCUUCCCCCUCCCCACCCCGGGGUCCCUUCCUCUUUUUUUUAUUUUUUAAUUUUUUACUUUGCAGAGAGAUUGAACCUUAAAAUGGCUAGUGAGUACAACUAUCUUAACCAGAGUGAGUGCUUGGUAAUUGAUGGUGUUGAUGAUUCUCUGAACUUUCAUAAGCUUAUGGUAAGUUUAACUGCCACAAGCUAAAGGGUUAAUGCCUCAUUUUUACUUCAUUUUUUCCCCAUGGCUUUAAGGAUGAUACUUUUCUUUUGUUUUUGGGGUUGUUUUCUCAUCUCUCCAGGAAGCCUUAGACAUUGUUCAAAUUUGCAAAGCUGAUCAGGAGGAGAUAUUUGCCCUGCUUGCUGCAAUAUUGUGGCUUGGAAACAUAUCGUUUCACGUAAUUGGUGAUGAAAAUCACGUGGAGGUGUUGACUGAUGAAGGUAAAACCACAAUGAUAUGCUUUUGAUGGUGUCUCUUCUAAUGCGUGUUUUGUGUCUACUGCAGCUUUGGUUGUUUGAUUAUAAGUGAUACUGCCUCAAGUUUGUUUUCUAGGCAUAAACAAAAGAUGUACACAUCUUAUUGAUUUUGUUAAGCUGUGUUGGAGAGUUGGGAUCAUAUUUGUUGAUAGAAUAUAUUUAAUAUGUCAGUGCCGAGUCAGAGUGAUUAUAGAAGUACUAGGCAGCUUUAAAUUUUAAUUCUAGUAGUGGAAGUCUAAUUUUCCUUCUUGGCAAAUAAUAGAAUUUGGUGAUUGCCAGUAGAGUUCAUGUUUAUCACUGAUCGAAAGGAGUAGACUCGGUUGAAAUUUCACUCUAAAUGUUCUGAUGGCAAUUUGAUGUGCUCAAUCUUAACUGUAAUGCACUUCCUAAAGUUAUGAUGGUGCAAUAGGUUUUACAUGAUAGAAUAGGAAUGUAUAUGUAGUAAAAUAACCAGUAAGCUGAAUGAGUAGAAUAUCAUAAAUCUAAUAAUGUGAUUAGACAUGCAUCAUAGGAUAUACAUGUAGCCAGCAUUACAUGCAUGACAUGAUUACAUGGAGUUUUAUUUGAAAUACUACUGAUUUUACUAUUAACUUUUUACAGCUAUUACCAAUGCUGCCAGGCUGAUGGGUUCUAGUAUCCAGGACUUGACACUACUUUUGUCAACCCAUAAAAUCCGAUGUGGGAAGGAUGAUAUUGUUAAAAAAUUGACAUGGCAGCAGGUACUUUUAUUUCUUGAUUUAAAAGAAACUUUUUCGCAUAUGUUCUGCACACCUAUCAUAUAUUUGUAAACUAUUUGCCAAAUGCUUGAAUUUAUUUAGUGUUCUUAAUUAUCCUGUAUUCAGGCAAUUGACAGAAGAGAUGCAUUGGCAAAGUUUAUCUUUGCAAGCUUGUUUGAUUGGCUUGUGGAUCAAAUCAACAAGUCCCUUGGAUUGGAAAAACUGCAUACUGGGAGAUCCAUAAAUAUCCUUGAUAUUUAUGGGUUUGAGUCAUUUAGGGUACACAAGUUUUAUGAUUGAUUUUUCUCUUUGGUAAUGCUUUAAGUGCUGGACACUGUAUUGCUGAAUGCUGAUGAUGAUAAACUCUUCAAAUUUUCAGAAUAAUAGUUUUGAACAAUUUUGCAUAAAUUAUGCAAAUGAGAGGCUGCAACAACAUUUCAAUAGGCAUCUAUUUAAACUUGAGCAGGAGGUAAGAAUCUUAGAUCUUUAGCAGCCUUAACGUUACUCCAUGCAUAUCACGAUUAGGGCACCCUUCUAGGAACUUUCUUGGUUACACUGAAGGAAACAGUCCAUUACUUUCUGUAUCUCGUAUGCAUGCAUAAUUCUCUCUUGGUUCUCCAAAGUCAAAAAAUUUGUUGCCAUAACUUAUUUCAUUAAAAUGCCAGUAAAUGAUAAAAUGACUCUUCAUUUUAUAAUGGAAGAAGACCCAGAUUCCAGGGCUAUGAGGCUUUCUGAUCAACCCCAAUUGAAACCAGCCUUUGUUUUACGCACCUAUCAUGCUUGACAUUAUCAUUUUCUGACAUAAGUCUCAUCUUGCUGGAUGUAUUUUGUCUUUCACCAGUUAAAUUUCCUUGUAAUUGUUAUUUUGAUCUGAUUGUCUAGAUAGUCAAAUUUAUAGUUUCUUAUUAAUUUUAGGAUUAUGAAGUGGAUGGGAUUGACUGGACUAAAGUUGAUUUUGCUGACAACCAAGAAUGCUUAAACCUCUUUGAAAAGGUAUUUUUUGCCUUUCUGAUUCUGUAUUAUUCAUGUGCUGCUUUGUUUUAUGCUGGUUGUUUGGAUUCUUCACUUUGUUUUAUUGGCAUUGGACUAUCUGAAGUACUUUGGGCAUAUAUAUAGGCCAUUAAUUUUAAUAUAUAUUUGGUGUAUAUGCCCUAGCUUUUGAGCUAAUUAUUGUUUCAAGAAUAUUACCAUGGUAUUCAGCUGGUAUGUGAUAUAUGGUUGAGUGCUGUCAAUUGAUGCAUUAAUUAUUUUCUUGGGAUUUGUUGGUUUCCAAAACCAGAGUGUUUGCUAUUAUGCUUAAAGUGGUCACUCCUCCUCCAUUGCAUUCAUUUUUUGCAGAAACCUUUAGGACUACUGUCUUUGUUGGAUGAGGAAUCAAAUUUCCCUAAUGCCACUGAUUUGACUUUCGCCAAUAAGCUUAAGCAGCACUUGAGCAGUAAUCCUUGCUUUAAAGCUGAAAGAGGGAGGACUUUUGUCAUUCAUCAUUAUGCUGGUGAGGUCAGUUAUGCUUUUUGUAGAGGAGGUUUGAUUUUUUUCCCCCAUCUGUUUGAACCCUUCAAGUCAGUUUCACAACUUUGACAGUUAGUCCUUUUGCUCAUUGCUAACAUUAUAGAUGAAAUCAAGGCAUGUAAUUUUUCAAGGGAAUUUAUGGUUCCUCCAUCCUUUUUAUUUUGUGUGCAUGUGUGUUAGAUUUAAACUUAAAUACCACGGUGCAUAAGUUUCUUCUUCAUUUUUUUCAAUUAAGCACAGCAUCUUCUAAGAAGUGGCCUUGUUCAUUGUCUCGAAGUUGGAUCCAUUAGGUAAUUUAUUUUUUGACGUAAAAUUAUGCAUCUGAAAUGAAGUACUUCUUCAUUAGUUUAUGCAGUAGAGCUAGUAAAUAUCAGAAGAACUACAACGCCAUUGCGUAAAUUUGUGUUUAAUAGUGGCCAAUUUUGAUGGUAACACAUAAAAGGUAUAUCCUUAUGUGGCUGUUUUUUUUCCCCUGUUCGUACCCAUUUCUAGGUUAUUUACAUCUUAGUAUUUGAGAGGCAAAUUCUCCUAUUAAAAAUGAUGUAAAAAAUUAGUUUUAAAUUCAGCCAGUUUGUUAGGUGUAUGUGUUUGUGUAUAUAUUAUUAACAUUUAGAGUUUGAUCAGGUUGCGUAUGAUACAAAUGGCUUUCUGGAAAAGAACAGAGAUCUGCUGCACUCAGAUUUCUUGCAGCUACUUUCAUCCUGCAAUAGCCAACUGCUUGAGUUGUUUGCAAGUCCAUUAAGCCAAUCUGGUGGAUUGGAAUCCUCAACACAAAGUGUUGGUACUAAGUUCAAGGUAGACAGUUAUGCUAUAGUGUUUACAUCCACUCAUCUUUCUAUUGAUAGAAUUCAGAUGGGAUGCCAAAACUAGGCAAUUUUAUUAAACUAUCAUAUGUUUUUUUUUAUUAAAUUGUUGAUCAACUCUUCUUUUUUCCAUUUCAAAAAUAAUAUCUUGUCUGGAAGUAUAGAGAGUACAAAAGGAUGUCAUCUGACCAUUGUAUUUGUCACUUAUUCAAGUGCAUACCUUAUUUUUUAGCACAACAAUUGUGCUCUAGUCAGUGCAUAAUCCAUUUUUGAUAUUACGUUUUGCGAAACCUUGAGGGUGUCUCUUUCAUGCCUGUAGGGGCAACUAUUCAAACUGAUGCAGCAGCUGGAGGACACCACACCUCAUUUCAUUCGCUGUAUAAAACCAAAUACUAAGCAGCUUCCUGGAGUCUAUGAAGACAAUACUGUCUCACAACAACUUCGAUGUUGCGGAGUUUUGGAGGUGGUUAGGAUAUCAAGAUCUGGGUAUCCAACUCGAAUGACUCAUCAAGACUUUGCGAGAAGGUACAGGAUAACAUACUCCUUGCAUUCUUUGCUAGUUCAGUUUCCUUUUUGAUUACUGGUUGGGGUAUUAAACUUGCAUAAGAUUUAGGUAUGGCUUCCUACUCUUGGAGACAAAUGCAUCUCAGGAUCCAUUAAGCAUAUCAGUUGCUGUUCUACAACAAUGUAAUGUAGCCCCUGAAAUGUAUCAAGUUGGUUAUACCAAAGUGUUCCUUCGGACAGGCCAGGUUUGUAGCCGUACUUUACAACAGUUUCAAAUGUUUUAUGUUCUCCUGUCCUAUAUAGAUGUCAGGGACUUUAUACAUCUGGUUGAUUUUUGUGUCUACUUUGCCUUUAGUGUUCUGAUUAUUUGAACUUUAAGUUGGUGCGUAUAGAAUUCAGUAGCAAGGAUCUUUUGCAACUGUCAAUAGUAAUUCAAGUGACUGAAAUUUUCAUCACCUCACAUAUAAGAACAAAUCUCUUUUUGGUCUUUUGGACAUGAUUUAUCACACAUAUGUUUAUUUAGUAACUGCCUAAUCACUUGAUGCAUGCUUAGAAUAAAUAUGUCAUUUUGCUAAGCUGUUUGUAAAACUCACCAAUUAUCAGCUUGAAAUAAAUUAAUCGUGACUUAUGCAAAAAAUAUAAAAGUCUGUUGCAUUGUUAGACUUUGCCUGCUAUUACAGCAAUACGCUAAAGGUCAUUAAAGCUUUACUUACUGCUGAGUUAAAAAAAUUAUAUUCUCAAUUAAAUUGGGAAAAAAAAUAAAUAAAAGGGUCUUUCUUUAUCUUUUAGUGAUUCUCAUAUCUAUUAAUUAAUUAAGAGGCAUAUCAAUCUUUUGUUCUCGUGGAGUAUUUCUAUUUGGUUACCUAUAGAUCUCUUUGGGCAUGCUUAAGAGUAGGCCACUACCGUCUGCAUGAUACAUUGUAUGGGCAUUAUGUCAAGAAAAGAAAGAGGUAUUAUAAAUAGAACAUUCCUUUAUAUUUAUCACAUUUAAGUUGCACUUUAACACAGUAGUAGCAUAUAAUCACAAAACUAGGAAGUUUUAUGGACUUGGCUCUUGAGGAUUAUGUAACAAGUUUGAGAAUGAGUUGAGUAUGAGCCUGAAGUUUAUUGAGAAUGAGCUAAUUUCAAGUUAGCUCCAAGAAAAGUGUGAAUUCUCAAAAUUAAAAUAAUGAGCCUAAUAUAUAUCUCAAAUCAGCUUGACUUGGUUCAUCUAUAGCCUUAAUGCAAUAAAUUGAUGUUUAUAUGGAAGGUGAUGUCUUUUUGAGAAGUAGCUAUGCUUCUGGACUUCUUUGGUUGUUGCUUUGAUUUCUCAUCAGUUGUACGCAAUUGUCAGUUUCACAUAGGAUUUUGAAUAUGAGGAAAUCUAAGUUGGAGGGAAGGUAAUUUUUAGUCACACAAGCAACAUAAGUACAUAACUAUCCACUUUCAAGAUCAAAAUGCUGCUGAUGUUGGUUUGGAGCAUCUCUUGGGAAUCUCACAAAUUUGAAGGAUACUUUAUUUGUGAAUUAAAACCUCGAGUAGCUUGAUCCUUGGUUUUGGAUAUUGAAUUAGCUUAUUGCUUUUUGGCUUGAUAUGAUAUUAUGAUUAUCAGUCAAUUGCUUCACUGAUGUAUCAUGUGUUGAUGGAUCACAGAUUGCUAGAUUAGAGGAUCAAAGAAAGCAGGUUCUACAAGGCAUACUUGGGAUCCAAAAAUGUUUCCGUGGCUCCCACGCUCGUCGUGAUUUUAAUAAACUGAAACAAGGAGUGACAAUAUUACAAUCAUGUAAGGCACACUUAAUUCUUCAUACUUCCACAGUCCCGGAAAAAUAGACUUAUUGUUAUCUUCACAUAAAUUAAGAAAAUAUUGCUAAUACAGUUAAAAAAGUUUUGUGAUAUCUUUCCUAAUAUAGUCUCUACUCAUACUGUUUCAUUAGAAUCAUUACUAAAUUAUUCUUAUAAUUAAUAAAUUUUACAUUUUUAAUACAUAUUAAGUGGCAUAUUAGAAAGCUAAUAAAUAAAUUAUCAUCUCAAGAAAGAUCAUUGAAGGUCUAUAAUUUGGAUGGAUGAAAAGGAAAAGUAAGCGUAACUUUUGGGACAAAAGGGAGUAUUUGUUAUCUUAUUUGGUUGGGAUGUUCUGCUCUCUAUAUUUUAGUGGACUUUGCAUUUCAACAUUGAUUUUAGUCUAUCAUAUCCUAAUCACAGUGUCUCGCACUAGUAACUUUUAGUUGUUGACCUUUGUUGAUUGCUUUAAAGCACUAAAAAUAUUGUUUGGGUGGGGCAUUAGGUGCAACUUAUUGUGAUGAUUUUCUUGGAUCCUAAUGACCUGAUUCAGUAUGCUGUAAUUUCAAAUUUAUUUUGUUAACCUUUGAAAUGCAGUUGUCCGUGGUGAAAAUGCCAGAAGGAAGUACAUGUCCAUGCGAAGGAGUUGCACAGUUAGUGCUCCCAUCACAGUUGAUAUUGAUAAUAAGCUGUUGGCAAUUGUAUACUUACAAUCUGGUAACAAUUAUCCACUGGCCAGUUUUUACUCUUAAUAUUUGCAUGCGGUGCUGUAUUUUUAUCAUCUCCUCCUGCAGUAAUCCGUGGGUGGUUGGCUCGGAAGCAAUUCAAUGAGAGGCGUAAAUUGAAUCCAAAUGCUAAAAGAAAGCUAGGAAAGAAGAUUUCAGAACUGAAGGUAUUCUUCUUGACGCUGUUUCAGCUCUCAAGAGCCAUUACUGAAGCUAAUUUCAUUCACUACAGCUUUGACAUGCGUAAUUUACGGAAUUCUUGCAUAUUUUGGCACCUAUUUGUGAAUUCUGGCUUGUUGCAGACAUUGCAUUUUUCAGUUGUGGUUUCUCCUUUGUUGUUAAUUUCAGGCCCAGAAGUUUUGCUUGGAUAGAGAUUACAAUUCCCAUGAUGGAAGUGCCUUUUAUUAUUAUUAUUAUUAUUCAUUUAAAACUCUGAAUAAAUUUUGGAGUGUAGAUCCUUCCUAUCAAAAGAAAAACUGUCUGUUUGUGUUGCAUUUUGUAGUGCUAUUAACAAGAUCGCUUCACCAUUUGUUGAUGCAUCUGUUAAAUUCUCUCAUUGGUUUUUGAUAGGGGUAAUAUGCGUAUUAUAGAGCUUUGGGUACUCCUUCCCCAUAAGAUAGCAUUUGGCAUUAGGCCCAGCCCAGUUUCUGUUGGGAGCAAAUCAGUUAUCAUAUGCACAGAGAUUUGCUUCAGCAUAUUUUGGUCAUGUUUCCUCUAUGAUGGGAAAAUAUGAUUUAAAAUUGUUACCUAGAAAGUUGUCUGUUAGGAUGAGUUCAAGAUAAAAUUAAUAACCCUCUAGUAUUGACUAGGCAUCUGUAAUAUGUCAUAUGUGGCAUUUAUUAUGCAUCUUAUACAAUCUUUCUUGAACUUAAUAACUGUCAUGUGCCUGAAGAGUUUUUAGCCAUCAUGAUCGUCUCUUUCGCCUGGCUAUUUGGAUGAUCUUAUUGGGAAUUGAUAAAAAAUACUAGAUACAAUUUUUUUCUCAUAAAAACAAGGUAAGCAGCUCUGGAGUCAAAGAUUGAUCAUUAUUUGCAGGAACACCAUAGCAACUGUGAUAAAAACUUACAUGUGCCUUGAUGCAUAUUUCUGUUCUCAUUUUUCUGUACAUUUAAAUAACACAAUGAAGUUGACUUUUCCAUGUUGACCAGGUCAUACCACGAGAACAAAUUGAGCUUCAGACUUCGAUUUUGGCAGACCUUCAAAGGAGGGUUACUAAAGCGGAAGCAACUAUAGUGCAAAAGGAAGAGGAAAAUGCUGCAUUGCGGGAGCAAUUACAACAGUUUGAGAGACGCUGGUCAGAAUAUGAGGCAAAGAUGAAAAAAAUGGAAGAAACAUGGCAGAUGCAGAUGGACUCAUUGCAAGUAAGUUUACUUAUUAAUUCAUAAAUAUGCCUGUUUUGUUCUUAAUAUACAAGAAGGACAAAAACAGAGAACUGUAAAGAAAUUAAUCUAAUUUUUGAAGGCUACAGAUCAUACAUUCAAAAUGACUUUAUAUUGUGACAACAAUGACCCACUAAUAAAGAAAAUGUACUUGACGGCCAGUUUUUUGGUUAUCUUCCUGUGAGGGAGUAUCUUUACCAAGUGAAAGAGCAUAUCUUCAUCAGCAAGAAAAAUAAUAGGGAUGGCUUCAUUAUUAUUAAUAAAUUUUAAAUUUCUAAAACAACAAUUUCAAUGCAAAUGUGCUGUUGUGGAAUGUCAACUUUACAUGGUUUUGAACAAUGCACCUUGAGUUGAACCAUUGAAGACAUAUCCUUGAUAGUGGUAGGUAUCGGCUUACCAGAGAUCAUUAUCUAAGGUUAGCCAAUGAAACGUUGGACUUUUAGUUGGUCAAUAGGUCUAUAACCACCAUAGAUGGGACAGCUGUUUGGGGUAGUUAUAAUUAUCUUCAUCAGUUAGGAGGAGGCUUGUGUACCUUUUUAUUUGUUCAACAUCAAAUGGAUUAGCUUUACUGGGUUACAUUAUGGUGCAAACACAAUGUCUUUAUUUGUUAAGAUAGGAAUUUAUAAAAAGGAGGUAGUGUACCUAUAAGCUUAGGUAGCUGAAGUUGCUCUGAGAAUAUUUUAACUGGGGAGACCUUUACUAACUUGUCAUUUAGUAUGGAUCUUAUUUGCAACUGUAAUUGCUUCAUGGUCAUCAAAUGUUAAAAACAGCAGAAUGCCAUUGGCUUAUGGACCUAGUUUGAUAGGAAACCUAAUCCAUGCUUGUCAUAUGGAUUCUUCGCAUGAUGUUAAUAUUAUUACUUAUAUGCUGAAGUAUCUUGAUUGUAAUUUCAUUGCCAGACAAGUCUUGCUGCAGCCAGAAAGAGUCCUGCUCCUGAUAACACUGUUGGUCAACCUGGUAAAUUAUCUGAUCCUUUUGCAACACCUGGCUGUUAUGAUUCUGAGGAUAACUUGUCCUCAGGUCUUCGAACUCCUGGCGGAAGCACACCCACCAAAAUGCCUAGUUCUGUUCAUGAUGGAAGAGUAGUAGUAGGGAGCGAGACUAAUAGCCCUAUGAUUGGAGUCAACGUUCUUGCAAGGGAAUUUGAGCAACGGAGACAAAAUUUUGAUGAUGAUGCCAAAGCACUAAAUGACACUAAAGCAGCACAACCUGCUUCUGAUGCAGAAUUUAGAAAAUUGAAAUUAAGAUUUGAGACAUGGAAGAAAGAAUACAAGGCAAGAUUACAAGAGACUAGGACAAGGCUCAGCAAACUUGGGAAUGGAGAUAUUGAAAGAAGAACUCGAAAAUGGUGGGGAAAGAUAGGGGCAAAAGGGCUCCAACGCUCCCCGGCUUGAUUAGAAAUUUCCACUUGGGUUGGGUUUGUGAUGGGGAGAUAAAAAUGUGUGUGAAAUGUAGCAAGCCAUCAUUUAGUUUCCUCAUUGUGUAGUUUCCACUAUGCUAUUUAAAGCCCCAGAAAUUGGUCCAUGUUGAGAUGGUAGCUUAGUUGGAGGAAUUGUAUUUAUGUAUCCAACAAAUUGUUGAUCAAUGAAGGAUUGAUCAUGUAUAGCCUAAUGCUCUUAACAGGUUUUCUGAGAGAUUUCUGAUCUACCCUCUCUUUUGUUUUAUAAUUUUUUUAUUUAUUAACUAGGUUAGGCUGUUUGUAUAUACUGUUAUUAUAGAUGUAAUGAGACAAACUUGGUAGUACCAAGCGUGAAAAUAUGAAAUAAAAUUGUUCAUAUUGGCUGCCUUGCGACUUUAGUCUCUUGUAUGAAACAUCAGCAAAGCAUUAUUCAGAUCAAUUGCAAUCCUGAUCCAUUAGUGUCAGAAAAUUCAUGCACAGUGAGCCUUCGUUUAUUUCAGCAUGAGCAGUUAAGUUAUCUUUCAAGGAGAUUGAAAAUAUUAGUUAUCUUUGAAGAGAUUGCAAAUAUUAUUAUAAAAUAUUUUAAAAGGUAAACUAUAAAACAUUAUUAUAUUAUAUAUUAAAUUUAUUCUAAUGAAUUUAACCCUUGAUAAUAAUUUCCACCAUUAAUGAUCCCAGGUAUUUUAUUUUCUAGAUAAUUUCUUUUAUCUUCGGCAGAAAAUUCCCACAUCAUGUUUCUUUGCCGGUGACUAUCACGUCAUUGAUUUACUUGGAUAUUUGGACCUGCUUUUUUUCUUAUAUAAAUAUAUAUAUAUAUAUACCAUUUGAAAUUCAAAUUCUAAUUGUUCUAUUAAUUUAAAUUCUUCUAAAAUUUUAAUAAGAAGAAAAGAAACUCCUGUCAUCUCAACUCACCUUUAAAAAUGAUCAGCCUCUCUUUUUGAUGGAUAGUCUUUGCUAUGCUACCUAAUAAGAAACAAUACAACCAUGGUAAAGAAGAAGAGCAUCGCCAUAAAAUUAAAAUGUACAUUGGACUCCAACCGACACUCAAGUUUUUAAAUCUGAUAGUACAGGAAAUUUUGAUACCCUAGGUGGUAGAGUUUCCAUUACAAAUCAUCAAUUUAUGAUCCAGGGACAAACUUUGUGGCAUAGACCCAAGCAUUAUUAGCAACUGGGUUGUCAAGGUGGUCCAAAAGGUUCUCCAGGGGACCCUUCCCAGUUACAAUAGCUUGAACAAAGAAACCAAACAUUGAGAACAUGGCUAGCCUUCCAUUCUUGAUCUCCUUCACCUUCAGCUCUGCAAAUGUAACUGGAUCAUCUGCAAGGCCUAGAGGGUCAAAGUACUUGCCGCCGGGGUAAAGAUCAUUGCCCUCUCCCACUCCAGGGAGACCAUUGAUGCGGAAUCCUUCAACAAGUCCCAUUAGGACCACUUGGAAUCCAAGAACUGCAAGGAUGCUUUGUGCAUGGACUAGGUUUGGGUUUCCCAAGUAGUCUAAGCCACCUUCUGAGAAGAUUUGAGCUCCAGCUUUGAACCAUACUGGUUCCUUGAAGUCCACCUUUACCCAUUUCUCAAGUACUUCUGGUGUGAUGCAGCCUAGUGCUCCAAGCAUAGCCCAUCUCCCAUGAAUCACCUAAAAAACGCACAAUAAUUACUUGAAAGGAACAAUUUUUUCUAGGAUUCAUGUCCUCGGAAGAAUUAUUAUCAGCUGCCUAGAUUUUGGAAAAUGCGUUUCAAAAUCAUUCCAUUAAAACAUCUGUAUUUUGUAAAAUCAAAUUGAUUAAUUUUUAUUUUUUUUUAUAAAAGAAAUAAAUAGUUUGAUUUCCUAAAAUAUGAAAACGUUUUAAUUGAAUGAGUAGUGAAUUUACUAAAAAAGACAGAAGUGUUGCGAAGUUGGAUGUUUCAAGGUAGCCAAAUCAUGUAGCAGCAAGGUUCAACAAAGAAGAUAAGGAAGUCAGAAAACUAAGGUUGUAGAUAUAAGACUAACCUCAAGAGCCCUGUUCCUGGCAAAAGCCUCAGGAUCAGCUGACAAACCAGCAGUGUCCCAUCCAUAGUCACCUGGAAAUUCUCCAGUCAGGUAUGAAGGAGUCUGAGCUGAAAAGGGUCCCAAGUACUUCACUCUGUCUGGUCCAUACCACAACUCAUUCCCCUGCCCAAAAUCACACACAAAGCAUCAUCACCAGAACUCAAAACAAUCACACAGAACGAAAGAGACAGAGACACACACAGAGAGAGAGAGUACCAUGAUGUAUUUGCCAUUUCCCAUGGCGACACCAUCUCUGAGAGGAUUAGCAGUUGAACCCUUUUGGCCAAGAAAUGGAGUUGGCCUGAGGAUAGUACUGGAGCUAGCCAUUGAAGCCAUUGAAAGUAGAUAAUUGCAGCCUGGAAAUGUGUAGAAAGGGAAGUGUUGAGUUUAUAUGGCAGGGAAAUUGAGAAUCUCAAAAUGGGUGGCUAAGAAUGCUGGAGAUGGAAGUGGUGGUGGGGAUCUUAGAGGUUCCAAUCAACCAAUCAGGAAGCUGUAAAGGAUUUUAUGUAUCUCCAACUCAUCUCAUUUUAUCCACAUAUUAUCUUGUCUGAGCUUAGACAGUUUUUCACGCGCAUUGCCGGCACUUCUGGUAAUCUCCUGCUUGCGUUUUGAAGACUUGUGGGCUUGGAAUUUGGGGAUUUUUUAUUAUGCUUAAUUAAUAUAUGACUUUUAGUUUUUUAAUAUUUAAAACGAAAAAUUUUACAGGGAAAAUUUGCAAAUAAUUAUACCCUAUUUUAAUGGAAAAAAAAUCUAUAAAUAUAAAAUCAUUACAAACCUCCAUUGUUAAAUUUUAAAAGUUAAAAUUAAAAUAUAUUUGAAAAUAUGAGUAAAACUUUCACAAAUAUUUGUAAGGUAUAUCUUUAAAAUUUUAAUUUUUUAAAUAUUUUUAUCUAAAUUUAUAUAUUAUACUUUUAUUUUAUGUGAAUAAAUGUGGAAUACCAUGUUUUAUUUUAAUUUAGUAAGUAAAUAUGGAAAUAUCAUGUUUCCAACUUCACAUCCAAUAAUCUGUUUAUAUUGUUUUAAAAAAUAGCAAAGGAAAAAAAAUUCCUUUGUAAUUAUUUUUUAAAUCUGUUGAAAUUUACAAUUAUUUUAUUAUUUUUAUUUUUAAUUUACAAUAAUUAAUUAUUAUAAAAUUAAAUAAAGGAAAAAUAAAUUGUAAAAAUUAGAAUACGUUUGAUAAAAAUAAAAAAAAGAAACUAGAAGAAAAUAAGAGAAAAUAUAAUUAAUAUUAUUUUUGUAGUCGAGCCAUAAUAUUAUUUUAUUGUAAUUUAAAGUAAUUUAUUAAUUUAAAGAGACAGCAAAAAAUAUUGAUUCCAAUUAAAACAAAUGGACUUCCCAUAUAUGCAAAUAUUAUUAUAUGGCAAUAACACAUAUUCCUUAGUGAAAGAUAGAUGUGCUCCCUACAGCACAAAAUUUUAAAAUGCUAUAAUAGCAUAUAAAUUAAUUAUUAUAAUUUUAUUUUAUUUUAUUUUAUUUUUUAAUUUUACUUUAUUUAUAAUUAUAUUUCAAUGUUAAUGUUGUAUUUUUUUAAUGAAAUUACCUUAUACAAUAAAUGAAAUAAAAAUAAUGAUAACAUUUAAGAAGAAGAGGCAUUUGGUUGAGUGAGGAUUAAUUUUGUCAAUUUACGUGUCCCAAACAGCUAUUUUGGAUGGAAAGACUACAAAUUUAGACAGAAAAGAAAGUGAGGGACUUAAGUGUUGGGUCGCCAAAAUAGAGAGACAUAAGUGUUAAUUACGUUAAAUUUCAGGGGUUAAAAAGUAAUUUUCCCUUAAGAUUUACUUUGUCCUAACCAAACGGAAACUUUAAUAUUUUUCUUCGGCCCGACAUUUUGGGCCGAGCGGGCUCAACUUGUCAAAUCAACGGGAAAAUAAACGAAACAAGUGCCGCAGUAUAUUUAUUUUCAAUUUUAGAAUCGAUAGUGUGAUUUUAUCCUAAUUUUUAUACUAUAAUAAUUAAAUAAUAAAAUAUUUAAUGAUUAAAAUUUUAAAAAUUAUUAAUAAGUUUAUUAAAAUAUUAAAUAUGUUUUAAUAAAUUUUUUAAAAUUGAUAAAUUUUUGAAAUUAAAUAAUAAAUUUUUUUAAUAAUAAUAAUAACAAAACCCAUAGUUUUAUGUAUAUAAAAAAAAUUAGAGAGAGAUUUUGUUGGGUUUCUAAGACGAAAAUACACAACAAACAUAUGGCAGUGAGCAGUGAAGAAGGCAAAUGUGGUUUGGCAAAGGACAUGUUUGGUGAUAUGAAUUGGGAUACGUAUAAGAAGGUGUCAUAAUUGAUGAACAACCAAACAAAAAGGACGAAACUCCAUGGAAGCUGUGUUCUUCCAUCUUUAUUCACUACGCUUUUGAAUUCAGACCCACACUGUGCUUCUUGUCCCUUUCCUCCGUUCUUACGCUGCUUCCUACUUCUGUUGUCUUCAUUUCUCUCCUUGCAGUUUCCUAAAAUAUCGUUUUAUACAUGUUAUCAUACGCUCAAUCCUAUAUUAAAUUCGUUAGAUGUCAUUUUUAUUAAGGGUAAGCAUCAUUCUAUUUGAAUAAAAAAUAUAUAUCGAAUUUAUUUAAAAAUAUAUAUUGAAUCAAAAUAGGAGUGUAAACGAACUAAACUGUUCGUGAGAUAUUUGAGUUUCGGCUUGAUAAAAGUUCGAUUGAGAGAAAACGAGUUGAGUUCAAUCUCACUUUUUAGCCUCGUUUAAUAAACGAGCCGAGUUUGAACUUAGCAGUAUUCGGCUCGUUUAGACUCGCGAGCUCGGCUCGUUUUCAAAUUUAUGAACAAGUUUGGGAGCCAACUCGUGAACAGGUUCGCGAAAAAAUUCUUGAGUAGGCUCGCGAACAAUCUCGUGAGCAAUCUCGUGAGCCAACACCAAUCCUAUAUCGAAAGUUGAAAUGAUAUCAACUCUUCUAUAUUCUUUUUUAUUAGUUUUGGGUUCGUGAAACUUCAAUUAAAUAAAAAAAAUUUAAUUUAAAAGUAUCUUAAUAACCUUAUAAUUUAAAUUUAUUUAUAAUUUAAAUAAAUUUGAAUUAUAUUGAGAUUGUUUAUAAUAUAAUCGAACUCAAAUUCAAGUCUAAAUGAGUUCAAAUUUGAGUUUUUUUAAUGGAGUCUGAAUUGUUCCAUUAAUGUGAUAAACUAACUUAUUAUGAAUGAAACUCGAAUGGAAGUUGAGUUUAAUAUUUAUUUUAUAAAUUGAGCUCGAGUUUAUAAAUGAAACUCGAGUCAAGCUCGAAUUCGAAUUCGAACUCGAACUUUUAAAUUUAUUUUCUAAUCGAGUUUGAGUGUAACGGUAUGAAUGAAUCUCGAACGGAAGUUGAGUUUAAUAUUUAUUUUAUAAAUUGAGUUUGAGCUUAUAAAUGAAAUUCGAGUCGAGUUCGAACUCGAACUCGAACUCGAACUCAAACUUUUAAAUUUAUUUUCUAAUGGAGUUUGAAUGUAACGGUCAGCUGACUGCUUGUGGAAAAUCAUCCCACAUCAGCAGAUUAUAAAAAUUUUGAAUUGUAUAUAAUAGCUAGCACGAAACUAUUAAAUAAUUUGGAUUAACUAUUUUGGGUCAACCAUUUUGGGUCAAGUAGAAAGUGAGUUUAAAAAUUAUUUGGACCAAUUUUGACCGGACUGUUUUAAUUGGUAUCAGAGCUAUCUUGGAUUAUAAAAAUCAUGUGGAGCUAGUGGGUCUGCGAGAAAAGGGUUACCCGUGCGAGAUGAGGUGGAACCGUCCGAGAUACUAGCGAACCACAAUACCCGAUGAUCCGGUCCUAAUUUAGCAAUUGUAUCUGAUUUAGUUGCGAUGAGAACAUCGCAAAUUUAGUAGGAGUACCACAAUACCUGAGAAUCCGAUCCUGAUUUAGCAAUUGUAUCAGAUUCAGUUGCGAUGAGAAUGUCGCAAAUUUAACAGGGACGAGUGUGACGUUCACCUGCUAGCUUGUGUAUUCCGUUUCAUAUCGGCGAAAUACCACAAUUCUAAAUUGUAUAUAAUAGUUAGUACGAAACUAUUAAAUAACUUGAGUUAACCAAUUUGGUAAAGUGGAAAGUGAGUCUAAAAGUUAUUUGGACUAGUUUGGAUCCGACUGUUUCAAUUGAUAUCAGAGCCAGUAAGACAAAUUGUGUAGAGUUAGUGGGUCUGUAAGGAAAGGGCUACCCAUAUGAGAUAAGGUGGAACCGCCCGAGGUAUUAGCAAACCACAAUAUCCAAGAGUUUAGUCCUGAUUUAACAAUUGUAUUCAAUUCAGUUACGACAGAGACGUUGUAAAUUUAGCGAAAUCGAAUGUAACGGUCAGCUGCCUGCCUGUGAGAAAUCGUUCGCAGAUUACAAUAAUUUCGAAUUAUAUAUAAUAGUCCGUACGAAAUUUAAAUUAACUAUUUUGAAGUAAAAAAUGAAUUCAAAAAUUAUUUGUGACAAUUUAAAUCUAGCUAUUUUAUUCAACUUAUUAAAAUUCGGUUUGACUUGGUUCCGUUGAAUUAUAACUCUAAAUCAAAAUAAUUUAGAAUUUUAACUUGAUUCUGAAAUAUAAAUAGUUCUUUCGGUUUUAAAGUUUGAUAAUUUUAAUCUGAUUGAUUUGAUUUUAAUAAAAAAUUUUGGAUAAAAUCAAACCAAAUCUAAUAUUAAAUUUAAAUAACUGAUUAUUUGGUCCAGUUUUAAUAGUUUUGGGCUUUGAAUGAUUAGUUAAACAUUAUUGUACAAUUAACUGAUUUCAAAAGGGGCCUUUAUUGUGUGUACUAAGAUGGAGCCCACAUCAGAGCAGAGGAGAGGGCGUGUCGACUUCUGAUUUCUUGAAUCUGCUUUAAUUUUUGCCCUUUUGUGGUGGUACGUGUGCUCGUACUUUCAGCCAUGUGAAGAUUUUAUCGUUAUAACAAUUACUUUUAACGUUUGUAGGUGUUUUCUUAAAUAGAGAUUACGGUAAAAUCUAAAAUUUUUUAGAUUGAUUUAAAUAUAUUUAUUAUUAAAUUAAAUUUAUGAAUAUAAAAUUACGUAUUUUAUUUUUGAUUAAGAAGAAGUCUAAUUUCAGAAUUUUUCAAAAUUCAGCAAAGCAAGGGUGUAUUGAUAGUUUCACUACAUGAGUACGAAGCAAGCACUUCCACAAAAUGUGCUUUUGAUAUUAUUCUUAAAUCUAUAUUAUAUAUGAUUGAAUAAUUUGAUUCUUAUUCUGUCAUUUUCUGGGGAUUGGCAGCAAUCGUUCAAGACAAAAAGGAUAUGUUAUCUGUUCUUCCGUUGAUGUCCAUUCAGUUGAUUUCUCUCGGAAAGGAUGUAGCUGCUAAGAAAAAGCUGUUGCCUUUGAGCUUGUUAAUUGAUUAGGUAUAAAGAAGCAUCUUUGGGUUCUGAUAUCAUGGCCUUGUAUUCCUUGGUUUGUCUUCAACCAAAUCUCAUUUCUCAUUUAGAAAAAAAAAAAAAGUAUGGACUUGACUGAGUCAGUGCCUUCAUCCACUCAAUUGAUAUGAACUGGUAUAUCAAAUGAAUAAUAUUUAAAUAAGUAAUUAAAAUAAUUUAAAUUAAAUUAAAUUUCUAAUGUAAAUAUAAUUUUUAAUGAUAAUAUUAAUUUAAUGAAUAAUUUUAUGUGUUAACUUAACACGAUGAAGUGAUAUGUCUAGAAUAAUCAAUAAUUUUUAAAAUCGCUAAAGUAAUGAUAUGCUGAUCAUAAUCUUUGGAAUCGUUAAAGUGAUGGUGAUGCUGAUUUGAUGGGCCACCUUAGUAAUUUACUUGUCAUUAUUUGUCCAUUAUUGCAAUGAGAUUACUCGCAUCAAACACAUUAACAUCUUCGUAAAAGAAAGAUAUGAACAUUUCCUCCUCUAAUUUUCUUUUUUUAAUUCUCAUAUUGUGGUUUAAUUAAUUUAAUUAGCUACUAUUAAUGCUGAAACGUCCCACAUAAAAAAAUUAUAGGGAACGGAAAUUAUAAAUUGUAUAUAAUAAUUAAAUAUAAAAUUAUUAAAUAAUUUAAAUUAAUUAUUUUAAAUUAAAUAAAAAAUAAAUUUAAAAAUUAUUUAAAUUAAUUGAAUAAUUGAAUAAAUGACAAAAUAGCUAUUGGUUCAAUUAGAUUUAAUAUCUAACUUUUUAUUUUUUUUUUUUUAAAAUUGUAACUAUUCCGUGUGUGCAUGCAUUUAAAUUAGAUAUUUUUAUUCAGAUCAAUUUUUAUUUUUAAAAAUUUCAGUUAUUUUGAUUUGUUUUAAUUUUAAUAAUAAAAAUUAUAAAUUAAAAAAUCGAUUAGUAAAUAGUAAUAUAUUAUUUUUUAUAAUAUAGGGAGAUUAAAUUAUAAUAAAAUUGAAAUAACUUUUUUAAAACACUAAAAAUAAAAUGUAAAAAAUAAAAAUUUCACUAAAAAUCUAACUAAUCAAAUUAAAUAAGACCAAUUUAAUUUAAUUUAAUUUCUAUUCAAAAUCAAUUUAAUUUUUAUAAAUAUCAAAAUUUUAUUUAAAUCAGACUAAUUCAAUUUAAUUUAAUUUCUAUUUAAAAUCAAUUUAGUUUUUAUAAAUAUUAAAAUUUUAUUUUUCUAUUUAUUCGGUUCUUUUAAACUAAACCGACCGAAUACUCACUCCUGAAUAUAUGUUUUAUUAAUUAAAUUUAUUUUUUAAAAAAACAUGAAAUAUCAUAUUUGAGUUUUAUGUUAUAAAAUAACAGAUUAUCAGUGACGGAAAUUUCCAUCGCUGAUAAUGCAAAAUCUUUCAAUGAAACUUUUAGUGACGAAUUUUCGACAGUCCAAAAUCAAUCAUUUAAAGUUUUAUUUGAAAACUGAUUCAAAAUAUUACACUUUAAUUCUAAAUACUUUAUACAAAUUGAGAUCUGAAAAUUUAUGCAAACCAGACCAAGUCAUGAAUCUUGUUUUUUAUUAUUUGAUUCAAGAUAUAAGAGCAUUCUUUUAAUAAAGUCUCACAUUACUUUUGAUAGAAGACCUAAGAUGAUUGUCUGUUUUUUUUACAACCGAUUAUAUCUUGUGAUUGAGUGAAUUUAGGAUGUUAAAUUAGAAAGUGAUGAUUCUACGGAUAUAAAAAAUUAUCUUAGCAUUUGAUCAGAACAUGGGGAUAUAAGAAAUUAAAUUGCAGUAGAUGUACAUUUCGCACUUGAAAAAAUUAUUCAAGCAACAAAAUAGAAAAUACUAUGCUUGCAUGUUCGUCCAUAGAUCAAAUUAGAUAUGUAAUUAUUGAAAUAAAUGUUGAAAACUCUAAUAAUGGAUAUACAAAUAUGAUAACUUAUAUACUUUUCUAUAUCUCCAUGAAUCUAGAAAUUUUUACUUGUAUUAUAUUAUUUAGUUUACGUAUCGGAACUGAUAACAUUCGAGAUUAUACAAGAUUAUACACGAAAGAUCUUUUUUUGAAUAUUUCUUUAGCCCUAUAUCUCUUAUCCCUAGAAGGUCUUCUUCUACUGGUAGGUUUUUUUCGAAAAACUCCAUUUAUUCUGGUGUGAACUUACGAGUGUUAUUUCCAUCUACUAUUAUCUAAAAAUAAUAAGUUAUUAAUGACGGGACAAAACAAAGAAAUAACCCCUCACAUGUAAAAUUAUAAAAGAUUCCUUUAAAAUCAAAUAAUUUCAUCAAAUUGAAUAUAAUUGUAUGUAUAAUAGCAUCUAAAUAUCAACCUUAUAACACUAACAUAUAAAGGGUGGUAAAACAAGUAGUGACGAGAGGCGACCUUAACUCUUUUUAUUAACCACUUGUCACUUAUAGCGACGACAGCUACGAGUGGUGAUGAGAGGAGAGGAGUCUAGCUCAAGCGUUGCAAAGAGAAGAGGAGUUGAUCUUGGGCAUGGCUACAAGUCAGCGUCAGGGUCGCAAAAUUGGUACAAUGACAGAAAUCUCAUGGGAGAGAGUGAGAAUAUGCAACAGCGAGAGUUGAAAUUUUAGAAAAAAAAAUAUUAAGAGCUUUUUUUAAUUAUUUUUUGUUGAAACAAAAUCCGCUGUAAAUAUUCAAUUUUUUUAGUGUUAAUUAUUAGAAAUGGCAACAGUUCGAAUAUUUUUGGUAUCGAUUUGACUGAAUUCUAAUAAAAUGAAUUUAAGUAUUUAUAAUUAAGUUUGGGACGAAUUUUAAUUUAAAAAAUAAUAUCAGUCGUAAAUUCAGAUGGAAUUUGAAUUUUAUAUAUAAAAUAUUUAAUUAUAUAUAUAAUUAUUUUAGUAUAAAAAAUAUAUUUUACAAUAAUAUUUAUAAAGUUUUAUAUAUUUUUUAUUUUAAAAAUAUUAAAUUUUUUAAAUAAAAAUUAUUAAUAAAAAAUAUUAUAUAUAUAAAUUAUUAAUUAAAAUAUAUAAGACUAAAUGAAUUCGAAUAAUAAUAAUACGAAUCCAGAUAGUUUAAAUUAAUUUUUAAUUGAAUUCAAAAUGAGUUUAAAUAUUACUAAUAUAAAUAAAAUUUAAAUUCAGAUAAUUUAAUUUUCACGAGUAAUCUAUCUUAUUAAUUACACUAACAAAUAUUUUCUAUUAUCAGAUAAUUAAUAACAUUCAUGGAGGCAGAGUUGUAUUGAAAAUAUAAAUAAUAAAAAUUCAAAACAUAACUGCUUAGUUAUAAUAUUAAAUUAACUUUUCAUAUUUUGAUGUAUAAAAAUCCAAUUGUUUAUAUAUAAUUAAGUUCAUAUAAAAAUGAUUGGUCAGUAAGAUAUAUAAAAUACUAUAUGAAUUUAAUCCCAGUCAGAAUUAAUUAUAAAAAACACAUUACAUAAAUUUAAUAUGAUUGGAUGGUAGGUUUUAAUUAGCCACUAUAUAAUUGGCUAAUAUUUAAUUAAUAUCAAUUAAUGUCAAGUGAGUUGGAUAAAAAGUUUCAAAUUGGAAAUGCAAAUGAAAUGUUGUCUUUCAUAUUGAAUUGCCUUAAUCAUUUUACUAAAAACAAUUAAUCUCUAAUUUCUCCCUGUUUAACAAGAGCGGAUGAUGGCAAUUGAAAGGGCAAUCUGGUACAUUUAAAAAGUCGUACGUUCAAAAUUCACCAAGUUCAGUACAAGCCUCUGAAAAAAAAAACAUAAAAAAUCCUUUACAUAUAGCACUCUCCAAACAUUAGGACAACACCCACCCCCACAAACUUCCCUUGUCCACCAAAUACUUCUCUCUCUUUCUCAUGGCUACUGAUCAUCAAGAAAUCACACGUGCAUCGCACAUGCAUGAUUUCACAGACGAGGAUAGCCAAAAUGGAGGAAUAGAAGAAGAGAUAGAAGAUGAGGAGGAAGAAAGCACACGGGAUUACAUAAGUACGCUUUUCAAGGGUGGUGGCCAUGGUGGGAGUGGUGGCGGCGGUGGUGGAGGUUCUCGACGAAAAGGGUGGUCUUUAGGGCAAAUGUUGGACCCUAAAGCUAGAUGGAUUCAAGAAUGGAAUAGGGUUUUUCUUCUAGUGUGCGCCACUGGACUUUUUGUGGAUCCUCUCUUCUUCUACUCUCUGUCUGUUAGCGAUACCUGUAUGUGUCUCUUCAUCGACGGGUGGUUUGCUAUCAUGGUAACGGCUCUCCGGUGCAUGACUGACGCCUUGCACGUGUGGAACAUGUGGUUGCAGCUCAAAAUGGACAAGAAACUAUCUACUGGCGGCGGUAGUACCAAUGAAACUAGCGGUGGACCACGCUUGACAAGCCCUAGAUCAAUGGCCCUGAGGUAUCUCAAGGGAAAGAGAGGAUUUUUCUUUGAUCUGUUUGUCAUCCUCCCCCUUCCCCAGGUGAGAUUUUAUUUUCCCUUAAAACCCCAUUAAUGAUAAUUAAGAAUCAUGAUCACUAAUUAUCAUUAUAAUCAUCAGAGAUCAGCAUCAACUUCUUAAACACAUUCACAUUUUUGGUUAAGGAUUUUUUUGUCAGUGAUUUUGAGAAGGUGACAGAUUUAUGCAUGCAGGAUAUCUCCAUGGAGUGCAGAGCCUCCAUGUGAUUUAGCUAAUAGCAAUGUCCUUUGUUCAUGUAGCAAAGGGAAAAAUGAGAAAUAUAGAAACCAAACAAUGAUUUCCUGUAUAGUAUGCCUUGUCUUUUCUCUUUAUUAAACUGAUUGGAGUUUUUUUGUUAUUAAAUUUAUUUAUUUAUUAUUUCCUUUAAGAAUAGGGCUAGAUAUAAGACUAAUGGGACUAAUUUUGCCUGUUAACGUUUCGCACAUAAUCAUGAGUAGCUGGAAUUCGGACAAGUUAGAUGCAUUGUGUAUAUAUGGAAAAUUUUUCACAUCAACCAAUAAAAUAUUAAUAUCUCAGAAUAUUAGGUGGACUUAUUAUAAUUUUGAAUAGUAUUCGUCAUGCUUUCAAAUAAUAUUAAAUGGCCCCAAUUACACUUACCAUAUAUUUUUAUUCACAUAAUAUUUCAAAUAAUAUAUAUAUUUUUUUAAUUUUAUUCACAUAAUAUAUAUAUAGCAGGAUAAAACCAGUUAGAAGCUAGAAUGGUUUAAGGUAAAAUUAGAAUGAAAUUGAAAUUUAUUUAAAUUAUUUAGCUUGAUUUAAAUUGAAUUUUAAAAACUGGAAUUGAAUCAAAAUCAAAUUUAUGGUCUAGUUCUCAUAUAUCCACCAUUCUUGAAACUAUAUUGCCAUUCUAAGUUGAAAUAAAUUCAAAACUUAAAUUUCGAAUUUGAGGAUGAGAGACUAAUCUAAAAAUUAGAUGUUUGAAAAAAAGUAAAUUUAAUGUUAAAUUAAUUUUUCGAUGUAUUAUAACUUUAACAUAUAUUUUAGAAGAGUUUUUUAAAAUAUUAAUUUUAACAAUUAUACUAAAUAAAUUUAGAAAUUAUCAGGAGAUGUGGAACAAUAAUAUUAAUUCCUUAAUCUUUAUGCAAAAUGAAGUGUCAUGAUAUGUCAGAUAUAUAAUAUCAAGAAUUAAAAUAUAAAAAUUUUUUUACUCUCUUCUGUAUUACAUAGCUAAUUUUUUUUAUGAAUUAUAUUUUUUGUGGUUGAAUCUUUACAGUCUUUAAGUAUUAUAUUGAUGCAAUAUAUAUUUUAGUUCUUGAACAAAAGCAAUCCAAUUAAAAUGGCAGAUAGUGCUAUGGGUGGCAAUUCCUUCCUUAUUGGAGAAAGGUUCAGUGACAGCAGUGAUGACCAUAUUCUUGAUCAUAUUCCUCUUCCAAUAUCUUCCAAAGAUCUACCACUCCGUUUGCCUCCUUCGUCGCAUGCAAAAUCUCUCUGGUUACAUUUUUGGAACUGUUUGGUGGGGAAUUGCCCUCAACAUGAUUGCAUACUUCGUUGCCUCCCAUGUAAGCUCACUUCUUUCUCUCUCUCUCUCUCUCUCCUUUCAGAUGCCAAGUCUUUUUUUCGCAAUUGGGUUCUGGAGAUUCUCCAAGUUCCUGAUCCCUAGCUCUCUCUGGAAAUGUUACAGGCAGCAGGUGCAUGUUGGUACUUACUAGGGAUCCAAAGGGCAGCAAAAUGCAUGAAAGAACAAUGCAGAGAAACACACGGUUGUGGGCUGAGGUUAUUAUCUUGUAGAGAAACUAUUUACUAUGGAACAACAAGAAAUGUGAGAGAUGGAGCAAGAUUAGCAUGGGCAGACAAUAAGUUAGCCAGGGCUACAUGCUUAGACAGCAGUGAUAAUUAUGACUAUGGAGCUUAUAAAUGGACUGUUCAACUCGUCACCAACAAUAGCAGAUUAGAGAAAAUACUCUUUCCUAUCUUCUGGGGCCUAAUGACUCUCAGGUACUAUUUUCAUUUUAUCUUUUUUCUCUGAAGGAAAACAAAUAAAUAAGAUUAGCAUUUUUAACUCUUAGUGCAUGAUCAGCACUUUUGGAAACCUGGAGUGCACAACAGAAUGGUUGGAAGUUGUUUUCAACAUCAUUGUUCUUACAAGUGGACUCAUUUUGGUCACCAUGUUGAUUGGAAACAUCAAGGUAAUAAUAAUUUUUUAUUGGGUUCCAAGCUGAUGUGGAUGCCGCCUCUUUUUUUCUUCUCAAUCUUUUAAUUGUGUUGUUUUGGGCAUGAAGGUUUUCUUGCAUGCAACAACAUCAAAAAAGCAAGCAAUGCAGUUGAAAAUGAGGAAUAUAGAGUGGUGGAUGAGGAAGAGACGCAUGCCUCAAGAAUUCAGGCACCGUGUUCGAAACUAUGAGCGGCAGCGGUGGGCAGCAAUGCGAGGCGUCGAUGAAUGUGAGAUGAUCAGGAACCUCCCUGAGGGACUUAGGAGGGAUAUCAAAUAUCAUCUCUGCCUGGAUUUAGUAAGGCAGGUAAUUGUUCCACCAUUUCACCAUCAAUUUUUAACCUCCUAGGCCCUUUUCUGUCUCCAGCACAAUUCCCAUCUUUCACAAUGCAAGCCCAAUUGCAAAUUUCUAGCCCAAUUGCAAUGGGUCUGUAUAUGCAAGCAUAAAUUUCAACCUCUUAAAUCUGUAUCAGGUCCCGCUUUUCCAACAUAUGGAUGAUCUGGUCCUCGAGAACAUUUGCGACCGUGUGAAGUCUCUCGUUUUCACAAAAGGAGAAACAGUAAGUUCCAUAAUGUCACCGAGUUUUAGCGUAAGAGUUUAUUGUAAUGUUAGGCAUCUAAGUGUUGUUGCAGAUAACUAGAGAAGGAGACCCUGUCCAAAGAAUGCUAUUUGUGGUGAGGGGUCAUCUCCAGAGCAGCCAAGUUCUGAGAGAUGGCGUCAGGAGUUGCUGCAUGUUAGGUCCUGGGAAUUUCAGUGGCGACGAGCUAUUGUCCUGGUGCCUAAGAAGACCCUUUAUAGAACGUUUACCACCAUCUUCAUCGACACUAGUGACCCUAGAGACAACAGAGGCAUUUGGGCUGGAAGCUGAAGAUGUGAAAUAUGUGACCCAACAUUUCAGGUACACAUUUGUUAAUGAAAGAGUGAAGAGAAGUGCGAGAUACUAUUCACCAGGAUGGAGAACUUGGGCAGCUGUGGCAAUUCAAUUGGCUUGGAGAAGGUAUAAGCAUCGUUUGACGCUUACUUCAUUGUCGUUUAUAAGGCCAAGAAGACCUUUAUCUCGCUGCUCUUCCUUGGGGGAGGAGAGGCUCAGGCUUUAUACAGCUUUGUUAACUUCACCCAAGCCAAAUCGGGAUGAUCUUGACUUUUGAAAGCAGAAAAUAAGAAAAUUUGCUCAUGUAUGGAUAUUUCAGAAGGCAAAUUAAGAGUAACAAUGAUGAAAAUUUCUUUAAAUUUCCAUUUUUGUUUUCUAACUAGUUAGAUGAAACAGAUUACAAGAAAAAGCAGAAUUGUUUUCUAAGGAAACAAACAUUACGCAGUCACAGUAUCCAAGGCCUCCAAGUCUGUAAAUUGAUUAGCCUCAUCAAGUUCAGGAGCAGCAGAUCCCCUGAAUAACAAAAUUGCGAGGCUGCCAAUCUGAAAAUAAAUAAAACAUCCACAGCAGUGGGUCACAAAAGAAGCAAAAUCUGUUCCCACAAUGCAUUGCCAUCCAGCUCCAUAUGAAGUAUCAAAUUGCUGCAUCAAGAACAACCCAAAAAAAUUUCAGCAUUUUACAUUACAAAAGAUAAAAUAAAUCUUAUUAUAUUAGAAAUAAACUUAUGAGUUAAAAUUUUACCUUCUUAAUGAAACGAGCAAUCUCAGUAGCCUCAGUGACAUCAAAGAAAUCGAGGGCUUUGGCUGCAAGAUCAAGAGCAUCUUGUUGCAUGGUUUGAAGCAUAUCACUCUCACCAACAACUGCCUUGCCCUCUAGCAUGGCUAGCUAAUGAGAUUUAAUUUCUCGAAGGGAGCUGUUGGUGGCCAAGAAGCAAACUGUUUGAUAAUUUUUGGAAGCCGGAUUAGUUAGUUACUUCUUGUGGAUGAAGUUUAUACCCAGUUAGGGAAUAUAAGGGCUGGUGCUGGUGGGUCAGCCACCUUUGUGGCGGUAUGGAAUUAUGCGAUUGAAGAAUUUGAUACUCUGAUAGCAAAUGGUUGAAAAAUUCCAGUAUUGUUAUCUUGUGCAGCAUAUGUGAGGUCUGGGGCCUGGAGGGAGGGUGUUACUAGAGGAGGAGGGAGGUCUGCUGCUAAGUAACAAAGAUUUUUGGCCCCCUUAUUAUCUUUGACGCCUGGUUCGUUUUUGGUGGUUUAUCUAUAGAAUUUCGCCACGUGUCAGCAGGCAACUUGCGAUUUCUUGUCCACUCCAAGUGUGGUCUGGAUUCUGUAGGAUUGGAGGGUAGGAAUACAUUGACAAAUUCGCUGAUAUCACUUAUAUUAAUUUAUUUUUCUUGAUUUAUAAAGAGUAUGAGGGAGCACAUGCGUUAAAUAAUUUCUUUUUUUAUAUGAUAAUUUAUUAUUAAAUAAAUAUUUUAAUUAAGCAGGUCUAAAGUAUUAUAACUACAAAUAAUUUUCUUUUUCUUUUUCCAAAUUUUUUUUUUACUUUUUGAAGUUGUAAUUGCCUUGUGAUAUUUCAUAUAUGUAAUAUGUUUAUUGCUGAGAUGGUCUAUAAUUUUUGGUAAAGAAGACAAAGUGGACUGAUUUUUGGGUAAUUGAUGUUUCAAAAAACUCUCUAGGUGUGGGGGUUUGCUGCAUGAGUUUUCAUAAUCAGUCGAGGAAAACAUGACACUUGCUAAUGUCAUGGAACUACGUAGAAAGACGGAACUCUCCAACUAUUGUGGAGAUUCUUUUUUUUUUUUUUUUUUUUCCGGAAGACGAGAGUUUUUCAUUGAUAAAAGAAGACUGUUUGUGUAAGGAAAAAGGGAUAAGGUCCAAGAUCUCUAGGCCCAAUAAAAAAUAAAAACAACCUCCUGAAGCCCAUCCUAAGAAAAUCUGUUGAUAAUUUUAAUAGAUUAGAAAAACAUUUUUAAUUUAAACGGGAGUUUUGUUUUUACUUUUAGAUUAAUUUGUUUUGAUUUAAGUUUUAUUUUUACUUUUAGAUUAAUUACUGUCCUCCUCUCUUCUUCUUUCUCACUAAAAAUUAAAAUAAUUAAACUACCAUCUAAACUUAGAAACAACACAUAUAUUCAGAUCCCAACAAACCAUCCCUUCUCCUUUCCUUCAUUUUCUCUCCACCGUCGACUACCCGAUCUUGGAUUCAUUUCCCGUCAUUCUUCUUUUCUCAUCCAUUUCUAUCUUUAUUAACUCUUUCUUCUCCUUUUUUUUCUUUAUUUAAUUCUCUCCCAUUUGCCUUCCUCCGCCCUGUGUUGUGAUUUAUCCUUUUCUUUUUCCUUUUUCUGAGGCAGCGAGACGGGGUUCUGCUCCAGCAGAAUGAAGCCGCGUCUCUUUGCCUGCUUUGGCAAGUGCAACUGCUCCUCAUUCUCCUCCGUCUAUCACGUGCAUGAAAAGGGGAAUAGCAACGGGACAGCAGAUGCUUCACCGGAGGAGCAGCGACGUGCUGGUGCCAUAUUGGUGGAGCUAUUCUCAUCACAGGGUUGUAAGACUUCGCCGGAGGGUGAGUUAUUGGUGUCAAGGCUAGGGAGAGGAGACUUUGCCCUUGAAUCGCCAGUCAUAGUGUUGGCAUUUCACGUUGAUUAUUGGGACUACAUGGGGUGGAAGGAUCCUUAUGGCUCUAGCCAAUGGACUGUUAGGCAAAAAACUUACGUUGAGGCUUUGAACCUUGACACCAUGUUUACACCUCAAGUUGUUGUCCAGGGUAGGACUCAGUGUGUGGCCAAUGAAGAGGAAGCUCUUUUGUCUUCCAUCAUGAGUGCACAAAAAUUUCCUUCACCCAACUUUCAGGUAUCUUUCCCUUUUUCUUUCAGGCAAAUUCUUAGUCCAUUAGGACAGACAUUGAAGUGGGCCACAUCAAGUAUUUAGGAUUCUGGCAAUAUAUUUUUCCAGGCUUUUUGUUGACAAUUGACAAGUUUGCUUUAACAGGUAACCUUCCAGAGGCCAACGUCAGAAUCCUUGCAAGUAAAUUUAACAGGAACUUUAAGGACUAAAAUUGACAACAAAGGGGCCAAUAUAAUGGUGGCUCUCUAUGAGAGUGGAUUGGUGAACGAUUGCCCGGCAGGGGAGAACAUAGGGCUUGUCUUGUCUAAUGACUACGUGGUUCGAAAGCUUGAAAAGCUCUGCACUGUCAAGGACAUAUCUGCCAAGAAGACAGUUUCAGGAACUGUUGAUUUUUCCGUUUGGGAAGGCUUCAAUAGCAGUAAAUGUGGUAUUGCUGUUUUUAUUCAAGAUAACUCCCAUCAAAUUUUUGGUUCACAGAACUUCCACUUGCCAGAUAAUAUAUGAGCAUUCAGAUUCAUUUCAUUUGUUGAAGAACUAAAUGUACUCUGGCUUAAAUCUUAGGCAUCAAUUUUCUAUUUUUCUUUCCUUUCCUUUUUUAAAAUUUUCUUUCUCAAUGGUUUUAUAUGGUAGGAGAUGUAGAGAGACAUUUUACACUUCAAUCAUAUGAAUUUCUUUCACAGCUGUGGAUUUCACUAGCAAUGCCUCUAUGGAAUUAAUGGUAAUGGAUCUUCAUAUUCAAAUUUCAGUGUUUAGAUCUGAUUAUGUGAUCAUGUUUCAAACUCAACGUCACUAGAUUAAUUAAGCAGAACGUAAUCCACACUGCAAAAUGUCAAGUGUUUUUGUUUUAUUCUGCUUCGGGAAAACUUAGUAUGUCUUUGCAGAGAGAGCUUUUGGGAUGUGCUAGUGUCUUCCUCUGUUGGUCUUUUAAGCAUUUCCAUCUGAAUUUGGGUCAGCUCAUCCUCAAAUUUUUUUCUAUAUCUUGGUUCUUAUUGUGAUGCUUUGUUGCACCUAAAGAACUUGCGAGGAGUUUUAACUUGAAUCGUUGAUGACCAAAUUGCAGUCUUCUGCAGAAGAAGAGGAACUCAUGUGAGAUCACAUGUAGUAAGGGAAAAAAAUCAAAAAGAUUCCGUUGCCGGGAAUCGAACCCGGGUCUUUCGGGUGAGAGCCGAAUAUCCUAACCAACUAGACUACAACGGAUUUCUGAACAAAUUUCUAAAACAACAAAUAUGUCAGGGAGGAUUAGGUAAAGUAGCAUAGCUAUUAUAAAUUUAUUGUUUGUUUGAUAAAGUAACCUAGAUUAAAUCAAAACCAUGAGUGAUUGAAUCUUUGAGCCAAAUCUUAAAAGGGCCCCAGUAAAAUUGCACAGGUGGAAGAUGGGUAGAACCUAGAGGAAGUGCUUAUACCUUUUAUAAAGUUGGGAUAAGGGUAACAAAUUCAAGUCUGUUUUACAUUAAUGUCAAAAUGGUUAUUUAAGAAAAAAAUGGAUUAUAUAAAUUAAAUUUAAAAUAUUUUAAUGACAAAAUAUUCAAAUAAAUAUUAAAAGUUUUUAGUGUCCUUAUAGAGAGAAAUAUAAAAAAUACUGGAUUAAAAUAUAGAGAAAGAAGAAAAAAUAGAGAAAGAGAAUGAUAAAGAAAAAGAGAAGACAAUUCCGGUGUUAGAGUUGCUUUCCCUUGGCGAGUGGCGACUUCCCUACUCAUAAUUUUUUGGUAGUUAUAGUUUUAUUUUGGAAUUUUGGAUUUGCUAUAACAUAAAAUUUUAUCUUUAUUUUUAGUUAGUAUUUCUUUUCUAUUUUCAAUGGCUGGCGAUUUUAUUUCAUGCAGAUGGUAUCGUUGGCUGCUUUAUUUAGCAGUUAUCGAAAUAAGGAUUGACCAGUAAUAAUUGAAGCUAGAAUUUAGUAUUUAGCUUUUUGAAGUGACUCCAUAGUGUUAUGAGACUGAAAAUACUAUGGAUUGAUAUGAUUUCUUGUGAUCAUUGAUGGGUGAGAGCAGUUAUGUUGGGUAAUUAUUUCUGUUUGCAUGAUUAUUUCUUUGUCCGGUUAUCUCUUUUUGAAACAUUUUACUUUGUGUCUUUACUUUGUAUUUUUCUGAAUUGCGGUCGCUUUGCUUUGCUUGGGUGGUGGACAAUGAAAAUGCGACGAGAAUGAUUAGGAAGUUUUUUUUGCUGAUUAAUCGUUCAUUGAUUGUUUUGAUCAGUGCAGUGAACAGAGACUUUAAUUGCUGAGUCUUCUAAUUGUUUUUAAAAUAUCGGUACCAUUUGAUUUUUGGGCUGAACCAUAUCAGUUGUCUGGAUUUCUAUUAAUUUCUUUUGAUUUGGGAUCUUUGGGUUGGCAUUCUACUCUUUACUCUUAGAGCAUUUUAAAUGCAAUUUUCUUGCAUUAAAAAAAAANNNNNNNNNNNNNNNNNNNNNNNNNNNNNNNNNNNNNNNNNNNNNNNNNNNNNNNNNNNNNNNNNNNNNNNNNNNNNNNNNNNNNNNNNNNNNNNNNNNNNNNNNNNNNNNNNNNNNNNNNNNNNNNNNNNNNNNNNNNNNNNNNNNNNNNNNNNNNNNNNNNNNNNNNNNNNNNNNNNNNNNNNNNNNNNNNNNNNNNNNNNNNNNNNNNNNNNNNNNNNNNNNNNNNNNNNNNNNNNNNNNNNNNNNNNNNNNNNNNNNNNNNNNNNNNNNNNNNNNNNNNNNNNNNNNNNNNNNNNNNNNNNNNNNNNNNNNNNNNNNNNNNNNNNNACAAUCCACCUAUUAGUGGAUUGAAUUGAAAUUAUAAGUUUGAAAUUUUUUAAGAAUUUUUAAAAAUCUUCUUCAUAAAAUACAGUCAGCCCUCAAAUACAGAUUUAAGGUUUAAAAUUGAAAAAAAAAAAAAACUUUUUCAUUACUUUAUAAAAUUUCUUUUCAAAUAAAAUGUUAGAUGAUUCAAAUAAAUUUAAUGCUCUGAGAUUCAGAAAAUAGAAUUUACAGUGGUUGUGUAAGUUUGGUCGAAGAGGAGAGUGUUCCUUCCUUUUUAUUUCUUUUUUAUCUGUUAGUGACGCCGAACGGUUUCUCUGCUACAGUGCCACCUGUUUAUGUUACGCAGAUCCGUACGUACGAAAAUGUCAAACGCCAUUCCCAAGCCAGACAGCCAUUUAAUUUUCUUUGACGCGCGUAUUGACGAUACUGCGAAGUGACUGGGCCUGCUGUCCUUCCUUGUGUUGCGUCACCGGACUAAACUUCUUCCUAUUGGGUUUGAGCUUGUAAGUGACCCAGUUCGCUCUGCUUAUCCGGAUCAGGGCUAAAAGUGUUGAACCGGUCUGUCGGGGAAGUUUCAUAGGCUUUGGGUCAGUAUUACUUUCUUGGACCCGACCUCAUUCGGAGACGCGUGAAACCCGAUGGUUAUCAAAACUCAUGAGUAAACUCUAUUAUACUUUAAUGGUUAUCUAUUUUAUGUAGGUUCUUUAAUUACGAUAGCUAUUUAUAUUGCUUUGGAUUUAAUAAUAAUAUUUUGAUUUAUUUGUUGAAAAUAAGAAGUUGGGAAAAAAAUCUAAUUUAUAAAUCUGAACUUAAAUGAGUUUUUAUUCAGGUUAAACGUAUAAAUGAUUCGAACUUAACAGAUUUUUGAAAAUUUUAAAUUUAGUUUGAUAAAAAUUUUUCAAUUUUGAAAGCUUAUUAAGUUCGAGUUUGCAUGUUAAACUCAAAUCGAAUAUUAAAAAGAAUUUAAACUUUAUUCACUUAGCAAAUGAGUUCUGCGUUUUUAUGGAAUGUAAUCUGGAAUAAUUUAGAAACAGUUUAAUCUAUUUAUAAAUAUAAUAAAUUUUAAUUUAAAAUUAAAUAAUUUUGAUUAAAUAAGUAUAUAUAUAUAUAUAGAAAAUAGCUACUAAACAAAUAAAAUAUGAGUUUUUAAUUGUAUAUUUGUAAAUUUUAAAAGUAUAAUUAAAUUGUGUACGAGUGAAACUUUAAACAACUCAAAUUUAGUUUAUAAAAUUUUUCUCAAUAGUGUUUUUGUCAUUUGAUCCAAUAGCGUUCCGUUAGAUAGGUACAGAUUUGAUAAAUACUGAUAACUCUCGGAUAGAGUAUUAGAAUGGAAAAAUCCAUUAGAUAAUGAACUAUUGGUUCUAAGCCAUCUCUGGCGAUGAAUCAACAAUUCGAAGCGCUUUUCUUGCAUAUUCUUAAUAAACCAGCGUUUAUAUAUAGAUGUAGGAGGAUCUGUUUGGGAAGUAAGAAGCCCAUUUGACAUCUCUUUAUCUGCAAAGAAUUCUCGAUGUGAAAACACAGAGACAAAGGGCUGAUAUUUGAAUAGGAAAAAGAGUGGAUCCGCAGGGUCCCAAAUGAAUUGGCUUAUUCGAAAAAAGCCUUUUUCUUUGGAAAAUCUAUCUCGUAUCUGGUACUGCAUGGUUCCACUAUGCAAGAACUCCGAAUCAUUCUCUUGAAGCUCAUCCUCUUCAUCAUAGAUGAUCUCUUCAUCAUAGAUGAUCUCUUCAUCAUAAAUGAUCCACUUGCCCCAAAAUGACCGGCCCAAUAGAGAAAUCCCAAUUCAUUGGGCCUUUCAAUACAAUCAAAUAGAAACCCCCAAGGACGCCAUAUUCUAGGAGCCCAAACUAUGUGAGUGAAUAAAUCCUCCUCUAUCUAUCUAUUUACAAUUCAAUUUGCGAGCUCAUGAACUUAUAAAUGAGCCGAACUAAAUAUUAUAGAGUUCAAAUAUAACUUAUUUAUUGAAUAAAUUUAAAAAUAAAAUUAUUUAAAAAAUUUAAUCGAAUUAAAUUUUUUUAUCGCCUCAAAUCUUGAAUAGCUUAUAAAUAAUUUAUUUCAUUUUCACUGCAAUCCGUCUGAUAGGCUUAAUUCAUCCUUUCCCUUACACCAACGAGAAAUAUCUUCUUCCCAUCUAUGUAACACAUUUCAUUAAUCUGUUAAGAAAUAAAAUUUAAAAUUAAUUGGUCCCAGAGUAUUUCUCCACCUCGCUCAUUUAAUGGAACAGUAACAGAGGAGACAUGAAUGGAACAGAAGAAUCAUGGGAAGGGCUAUUCCUAUUUUACAACUUCUCAUUAAUAAUAAUAAUAAUAAUAAUAACAAUAAUGAAUAAUCUCCAUAAAAAUUAGAAAAAAAAAACAUUUCCAGAGUCAGAUUAGCCUACUGUUGUGCACACAACGCAGAACUAAACAUUGGGAAAAUUACUUUACCUUUACAGAGAGAGCUUUCGGGAUGUGCUCGUGUGCUAAUUUAAGGUAAUAAAUCCAAUUGUUUAGUCAUCUUCUGGAAAACAUUGGGAAAAUUAGUAUAUCUUUACAGAGAGAGAUUUGAGGAUGUGCUUUACGUAGGGAAAUCUUCCUCUGUAUGGUCCUUAAAGCAUUUCCGUCCGAAUACGGGUAUUAUAAUAAAAGAGAAAGCAAAAAGACCAUGUGCGAUUGAAUCUUUGAAUAACAAUAAUAAUGAAUAAUCUCAUAGAAAAAAUCCACAGUAAGAUAAGCCUACUGUAGGAUACACAGAAGACAGAACAGAGAAUUAAGUUUUUCUAAACAUAAAAGUUAAAUCAGCUAAAAUAACGAAUACAAGCUCGCCUAAAUUAGGGUAAAAAUGAGAUCACAGCAUAUAGGACCGCAAAAGAGAAUGUCCAGAGGAUGCAACUGAAAAUUCAUUACAAAAAUAGAAAAGAUACAUCUCUUGCGAAUGACUACAAGAAAACCAAUUGACUAUAUUAUUGAUCAAGUAUAACUUCAGCUAAAAACUAAUACAAAAUCUAGCACCCAUAUUCCUAAAACACACAAAAUAAAGCUGAUGGUAUUGAUUUAUUUUUAUCUUAUAAAACAAAUUCCAUUAUCUAGGAGGAGGGUAAAGCCCCAAUUUUAAACAUUACCCUAUUUUUUUCCCCUUUGGUAUAUGACUGCCACGCCAAUCUUCACCACCACUCACCAGAUCCAUGAAUUGACGAGAGAUCCAAUUCCUCAUAAAUCUCUUUCACUGGCAGAAGCGAUUAGGCAAAGAGCAAAACCCAUCUCAUGUCAAGUGUCUGUAGCUUCAACCUUUUGUCGAGCCAAGUACUUCUCUCUCCGCUCUUUCUGAAGAAUACAUAUAAAAAAUGGCAUAUAAAAUACAAUUAGACAAAGAAAAAGAAAUUUUUUUGUUCGAGGGAAAUAAGAUAAUAAACAUACCCAUCCAUCUGUUACAAGACCUUCCCCAACAACACGAGGCCCAGUGUCUGGUGGAGAUUUCUUACGAUCUUCAAAAGCAGCAUCAGCUUCAGUUAACUGAUGCUUCAGUUUUUCCAGUGCCUUGGAAAUUAUUAAAAAAAAAAAAGCAAAAGAAAAAUUAUUGUUGGAAAUGUACUUUUCCAGUAUCAAAAAAUUGAAAGACAGAUUUACUGACAGGACUAGGAUGCUCCACAUCCAAAAAUACAACCCGCAAUACUCGCUCAACUGUUACCCGAUCAAUCUGUUCAUCAAACUGCGAGGGAAAUAUUCAAUUCAGGUUAAUCUAAUAACAUGACAGAAUUUCACAAACACAAAAGAAGACUAAAAGAAACUGGAAUAGCAUGUUUAAUUGCAUGUCCGCAAAAAUAAGAAAGAACAAGAAUGAAAGUAGAAUAAAAUUACAAUAUUCCAAUGGUCCGAUGCAGCUCCACAUAAAAUUUUUUUAGAAAAUUUGCCUAGUUAUAAGAGCAUUGAAAAUUGCCAUAACAGUUCAUUGAUUGCAAUUCCAAGCUAAUUCUUGACCUAUUCUCAUAUCUACGAGACUACGACUCAUUACCAUAUCUACAAAGUUACAGAAAGAGGCCAAGUUGAGAUGUGGGAAAGUUUUUGCUUACACUCAUUAAGUAUGUUAAUUUGAAAAUCAAAAUUGGGAAAUUGCAAUUCGAUCUCUUUAAUAUAUCCCACACCAACCUAAUCAAAUGGUUAUAUACUCUCUUAGACAAUUUAUCUCAAGCAAUCAAAUAAGUAAAGCUAAUUACUAAUAAAAACAAUUUAAGACUAAACAACGAAACAGAAAGCAAAUAUGAUGAGCCUCACCAACUCAGGUGUAUAUUCUGUUCCUCCUUUCACCUUCAAACUCAUGAUCUUAAACUUAACAUUGCUCUUCUGGUCUAUUACUUUCUCAUUGUUCUCUGGAUGCUCCACAAACUUGAACACUGUCCAUUUCCCAAUUCAAAAUGAAAAUAAAUGUCAUAUGACUUGCAAAUUAAUCAUUAUAUUGCACCUCCAAACUGCACAAGAAAUCAUGUUCCCCGCCAAUUAAGUAUGAAAUUUCCAGAGGGAAAAAAUUUGGUACGGUACCAGUCGCAAUAAGGCUCUCUCCUGGAGCAAGGAUGCCACCAGGAGGACGCAUGAAACAACUCUUCGGUUCAGUUGUUUGAAACUACAAUAGGAUAGAGAAACCAGUCCGAUAUCAAUUAGGUUAUGCAAACGUCCAUAGUAUGAACAAAUGUAUAAACCUGAACAAGUCUAUUAUGCUUACGUUAUAUUUGAAACAAACCAUCAUCAAGUGUCAAUACGUCAUGUUAUAGCACAGGGAAAAGAUGUUAACAAAGAAAAAGAAGCAAAAUGACGAGUUUGAGUCUUUUGACAGUUGACAAAAGAUAAAAAGAGGCCAAAACCGCGUGGGGAAUGGAAACCCAUUCCAAACUCCAAGGUCAGCAAGCCAAAGAAAAUAAAAAUGGAGCAACGAAAGAAAAAGGCCUCAUUAAUUACUGGGUAAAUUACCAUCAGAUACUUAUAGUUUGUAAAAGUUAACUACUUAGUGCCUAUUUUUUAAAAACCACAUCAAAAUAUUCAUAUAUUUUAUAAGAUCAAACUCAUUAAUAUUUUUAUCAAAUAAAAUGUUAAUAAACUUAUUAUUAGCAUUUUAUUAAAUAUUAUAAAUACAUAAAAUUAUACAAAUUAAAUAGUAUAAAAAUUUGAAGUUAAAACAAUUUAACUAAUGUUUUUUAUAUAUAGAAAAGUUUGAUAGUACAAAAUAUAAGAUAUUUUCAUAGUAUCUUCUUUAAAUAAAUACUUUCUCUAUUUCUUAAUUUUUAUUCAUUUUAUUUUUUCACACAUAUUAAAAAAUAUAAUUUUUUUAAUUAACUUUUUAAUUAUACAUCUCUUAAAUAUAUUAAAUUUUAUUAAAUAUUGAGAAAUAUUUUAAAAAUUUUCUUAAAAAUAAAUAAAAUUAUAAUAAUUAAUUGACAUGUUGCUAUAAUUUAAAAAAAUAUGAACAAUAAUUUUAAAAUAAUAAAAAAAUAAUAAAAAUUAUGAGAUGGAGCAGUAUAUUCUAAUUUUUUUUUGUAAUUAUUUACCCUCAAAUGAUGUAAUCAUGUAAAUGCAACGCGAUGCGUCAUCUUGCCUUUGUUAAAAUCCAUACCAAUAAAAUUACUGUAUAACCCUGUUAAAGAACAAUAAUUUUUCCACCACAUUUUAAUUAUGUAAAACAAACCUUGAAAGCUACAUGAGACCUGCUAGUGUUUUUCAUCCUGAUUGCACUUCUCACCUGUUUCCCUGGUUCAUCUGCAACCCAUCCAGCACAAAAUAACUUCAGCGGUUACACAAAAGACAAAAAAAAGGUUAAAGCAAGAUUGAGAUCCAAAAAGAGAUAAGCGAGAGAGAGAGGUAAAACUUAAAAUAAGGCUUAAAAAACAGUAUACAAUAAGGUAAAAGCGUCAAACAAAGUAAAAAAACAAUAGAGAAAAACCCUGAAAUUUCUAUUAUUUGUUGAUCGAAAUCUCCAAUUCUUGGUUCUAUAAAUCGCGCUUGUUAACCAAAAGGAGAAUGACUCCGAUUAUAAUUCGAGUUGACCAAACAACUGAAGUCAACACGUGUAAAACAUUCAACCGUACAAAUAACGUCGACUUACACGGAAAGUAGAGGAUUUUAGCGGGGUCAAAACGGAGUCUGCGCCAAGCAGGGAGAAGAGAUCGGGCAACAGAUAAUACCGUUGUGGAUUUGGAGCUAUUCUUAACCUGCCGGUUACUGCUGUUGCCAUUACGAGUGUGGUUGAAAUUUUUCGUAGAAGAGGAAGACGAGGUGUUGGUUGUUCCGCUCUGCCAAAAAGGACAAAGACUAAACAACUUCUUAUCGCUGUGAGGCUUUUGCCGUUCGGCGACCGCCAUCGAUGUCACGGUUCAAAAUUAAAAAAACAAAUAUUCUCAGAGAAAAGGAAAGGAAGAAAGCUUAGUUUAGUUUGUUGUUAGGGAAAAUAUGUGGACCGUUGGGUUUCUUGGUGAGUUUUAUUGAAGAAAGCUUGGUUUAGUUUGUUGUCAGGGAAAAUAUGUGGACCGUUGGGUUUCUUGGUGAGUUUUAUUUAGGAAAUAUUAAUUAUUUAAUCUCUCGAGCUUGAAAAAAUUUUCAAAUAUUUUUAAAAUUUUAAAAAAUUUUCUUAAUUAAUAAUUUAUUAAUCAUUAAAAUAUUUUCAAUAUAAGAAAACUAAUCAAUAAUUUUUUUUUAAAUUAAAUAAUCAAUUAAUCAGUUUUUUAUAAUAUAUAAAUUAAAUAAUAAGAUAUUUGAUAAUAAAAAUUAAUGAAAUACUAUUUAAUAAACUUUUUAAAAUUUUAAAAAUAUUUUAUUGUGUUUUAAUAUUUCACUGAUUAAGCCUCUGUUUAAAAAAGUAUUUUGAAUAAAAAUAUUUAAUCUGAAAAAUAUUUUUUAAUAAAAUAAUUUAUCGUUCAUUUUUUAAUUUUAAUUUAAAAAACAAAAUAUUUUAAUAAAUUUAUAUAUAAAAAUUUUAAUAAUAAUUUUAAAAUUAGUAUUUUUUAUUAAUAAAAUAUUUUCGGUUGAUUUUUUUUUUUUUGAAAAAAGGCAGCAUUAAAUAAUAAAUUUAAUUUUUAUUUAAACGUGGGGCGUGGGGUUUGAAAUGGUUAUUUAAAUUGGAUUUUUGAGUUGGAAUCCGCUGGUAAGCGUGUUGACGGUUGUGCAAAGAUAGAGAAGCGUGAUAAAAAAGGCGUAGGACAGAAUAGGGAGGAUAGGUUUGCCCGCCGACGAUAUGUGAGGGAAAUGCAAUGUCAUUUGGAAUUAAAUAUUAAUUAGUGAUUUUGCUUGCAUUUAAAGUUUUUCUCUAUAUUCAUUACAUAUUUUAGUAAUUUACUUUUAAAUGUAUUUUUUAUAUAUAAGAUAUAAUAUUAUAAUAUAUUAUAAUUAAAUUUGUUAUUUUAUUAUUAAUUGAUUUUAAUUAUUAUAAAUAAGCUAUUUCAAACAUGGUAGUAGAAUCAUUAUACACACAUAUAUUUAAAAAAACUACAUCAGGAAAAUGAACACCCCAUUGUUUCUUAGACCUUACAAUGAAAUUCGACCUGCAAAAACCUUGAUCUUUCAGUGGUUCCACAGCAACAAAGGUGGCAGCCACAAUCCAAGCUUGUCUUGUGGCCUUCAUAACUUCUGUAAUUUGACAACUGUGUGCAGAAGUGUUGAUGAGUUGGGGAAGAUAAAAGGUUUGGUCUGUACAAUGGUAAACAUACUGAAAAAUCAGUAUGUUGUUCAUGGUUUGAGCCUCAGCCAAGGAUGAUGAUGAUGAAGAAGAAGAAAAAGGGUAAAAAAUCCUGGGCUGAGCCUCAGCCAAGGAUCUUACGUUGUUCAUGGCAUGGUGUUGCAGAGAUCUUAUAACAUAAUUCCAUCUGCAAACUCCUUGGUCUUUCAUUACCUCCACUGUGCCAAUACUAGCUGCCACAAUCCAAGCUCCCCUUUUACACUCAUUGUCUUUUUUUUAUUUUUUGAAAGAAUAGAAAGAUAAAACUCUAUUUUUAUAAUUACUUUUUGCUAAAUUAAAAUGUACAAUUACCAACAGGCAGGCUAAUUAGCCUGUGGCUUUUUCUGGCUGCCGAAAUGAAACAUACUGGGUAAAGGCUGGGGGAAGCUUCCCACUUUAUAUAGGCAUAGGGCUUUUGGAAUUUUUGCAUGAGGCUUGAUUAAUUGGCAUAUGGAUUAUCACCCACUGUUUAGGAACUGGCUCCAUUAAUAUAAUCAAUAUAAUUAAUGAUUAUAAUAUAAUCAAUUUUAAACAAAUAACCUCUGUGCUAUUGUUUUAUAUGUAUUUUAGAGUAUCACCUUAUUAUUAUUUUUUAAUUAAUGUAUACUAGAGCUGCAUUUAAAAGCUCAGACUAUUAAAGAUUAUAAAGGGCCAUUAAAGAACAUCAAAGUCCAGUACUCAACAGAUACCAAUAGAAAAACCAACCCAAAAGAAACCAAACUCAAACAACUAAACCGACUAACGAACCAAAACAGAUAUACAAAACAAACCAACAUGUAGCAGCAGCAAACCCAGUCAUUUCUUAAGGAAACUUCUAUCUGAUUUGAAGCAACAGCAAGGUCAAGCCAUUAUGCUUUAUGUUGCCCAGAAAUCAGACAUCUCCAUGUCUGAAAACUCAAGUCGACAUGGCAGGACAAAGCUUCAUGCUUUCAGAUAGGCAGAAAGAAAUGGAAGUGAAGCUUGUUCCUUGUUUAUUAGCAUGGAAAGAACAAUAUGCACAAAUCAGAGAUUUGUAGUUUAUCUUUGAUCUUUCCACCACAUGAUGAAAAGUAAGUGUGUUGGGAGGAAGAUCUCCAGAAAAUUCAAAGCCAGUGUCUCUAGACAAAACUCGUUAAUAAUAUGUUACUAUGCUACUUGAGUUAUUAUGCUUUAAAAACUUAAUGAUUAAGCAGUGAACUUAUGAGAAUUGGGGAUUUAAUAUGGUUCUCUGUCUAAAUUUUUUUUUUCUUCCUUUGUAAUUUUACUUUCCCCUUAAAAAAUGGCCUGCAACUCUGCAGACACAGUUUGGGAAAGAAACAAGGCCAGUGAUCUGAGUGCUUAGCUUGUAAUGAAAUUUGAGAUAAAAUCGUAUGAAAGUUCACUAAUCUAUAAACGAUCCAGAACUGAAACUGCAGACAUAGAAGAGCUGAAGGAACAUUAUUAUAAAAACUGAAAGGAAGCUAUAUGUACAUUCAAUGCAAAAUUGGCACUGCACAAACAAGCGUGAGGGUUCAAUUAGGACCCCAACAGCUCAAAUACAUAACUGUUCUGAGAGACUCCUCAGACUGUUUCAACUUGUCAUCUCUGAGCUUCUUUGGAAGAGCAGGAAGCAAUUUUUUCGGCUGCUGAGAAUAUGAUCUGAUAUUGUUCUUGGCAUGUUGUUGAAGUGACCUCAGUGCAUAGUUCCAUCUGCACAAGCCUUGAUCUUUCAGUGCUUCCACUACUCCUAUACUUGCAGCUACCAUCCAAGCUCUGCUUGUAGAACUCAUUUUGAAUUUGUAAACUAUGGAGUGGAACAGAGAACUGAAACUGGUUUGAUGUGAGGAUUUUAGUAGCUAGGAAGAAAGACUUGUAUCUUGCAAUUGUGAUUUUGUUGUGGAGGGGAGGAGUUCUUAUAUAUAUGUGGAAAAUUGGUGAAAUAAAUUAAUAAAAUAGGUAAAGAUUGGGAGUGGGAUUGAUUGGUGAGAUAAACCAGCGACGGUUUCACCAAUAGUUUAGGGAAAGCCAAUUGUUUAUAGCAGUGGUAUUUCUAAAACAAGCUCCGAGAAUCAUUGAAUGGGGACAGACAACUGUGAGACAGAGUGAAAGCGAACUCCAAAUAAACAAAGAGAUAUAAUCAUACUGAUAUCUGGUGGGGUAGGGUUUGGUAAUUUGGUGUUUGAUCUUAUCCUAAAGUUUCUUACAGUCUUGAAGCUUUUCUUUUCUUUGGAUAAGUUUUCCUUUAUUUGUUUGCUUAUCCUUCUUUAGAAUAGAUAGAACGUAAUCAGAAAAAAUAAAGCUUUUCCUUCUCUUAUUUAUAUAUAUUUUCUCUAAUUCAAACAAGAAAAAUACUUAUUCCACUUUAUUAGGUUUCAAUUUUUGUUUGUGUGAUUCCAUCAAUUAUGAGUUGAAAAUUUAGAGCACAAUAUAAA